This 54418-nucleotide long non-coding RNA is filed under the name Setaria italica (foxtail millet). RNAcentral's name for it is "long non-coding RNA (SITA_LNC000820)". Lineage: Eukaryota; Viridiplantae; Streptophyta; Magnoliopsida; Poales; Poaceae. The record is from RNAcentral.
GAGCAUCACACAAACCGUGAUAUUAACAGAAAAAAUGAAUACAAAACUUAGAUAGCACGCGACUACAUUGUCAACAAGAAUUGUAGAUCCCAGUUCUGGAAUAAGAAUAAAAAUACAGGUUUUUUAUUUUGUCAAACAAAUAGCCCAGAAGACAAUCCAAGAUAAAUCUUUGAUAAAAACAAGGUAAUAUACUUAACGAUGUCCCCUUUGUCAGACAGAGAUAUCAAUUACCCUGUUCUUGUGCUGUCUUUACGAGUUCUUGUGCUUCUUUCACUAGAGAAGCGAGAGACCUCGCUGGCUUGAUCACCUCACCAUCAUUCCCAGCAAAGAGCAUGCAGUUAUCAACCUCCGACAUGGUUCCCAAAGUCUCGGUCAGUGCUUCCUUGAAAUUAUGUUCAUUGAAACGUUGGAUGCAGCUGGGCUUGGCUUGAAUCAUAGCUAUCACCAUCUGGCAGGUAAGUUUCACUACUCUCAAACACUCAGACUCAGCCGUGCAUUGCUUGUUUGCUUCCAGUAUGUCUUUUAGCUUCUUCGCAAGUGCUGCAUCUUCUGGGGUGGAUCGAGCAAAAUCUUCUCUACUGAUCACAUUUUCGUUGCAUAUCACCACGGCGAGGGAUAACAUGGCUGCCAUAAACUUUCUUUCUUCUGUGGGCUGGUUUUCCUCAAAAUUUUCUGCUGCAUCUGCACUUGUUCCCAUUUUACUAGAUAAUAUUUGAUCGAGCACCUGUAACAAACAUAAUUUAAUGCAUAGGACCAGCAGUAUUGAUGCAACUCAUCUCUAGUGGAAAUUUUUGUACACUACAGAAUUAAGAGAAAUUAACUGACAUCUGAGAAUUGGUAAUAAGAUCCAACAUGAUGCAGAGGCAGAAGAAGCGAGAGUUGUUGUCAAUUUUUCUUUUGUUCUAAACAAAAAUAGGCAGAGGUAGCUAGUUACCUUGGUCAAUAGGUUGAUCACCUCUUGCUUGGAAAUUAUAUCAGCAACAUUAACAUCUCUUUCUCUUGCAGUGCUAACGCGAAGCAAUCUGGCCAGUGCUUCCCCUGCUUUUCCCCUCAUCAGUCUGGUGGCAUUUUCCCUGUCUGCUUGUUCCACUUGAACUACAGUAUUGUUGCUGGACGCUUCCUCAAGGAAGAUGCAUAGCAGGGCCUUGAGAAGCUUGUUAAACUCCAGCUUUUUGAAAGAAUCAUCAAAGGCUAACUCCGUCAGGAUCUCCAGGGCUUGUCCAUGCAGUUCUUGGGCAGCUCCGCUGUCAUUCUCCAAAGUAGCCAUCAGAUUGCUGACAGCUUCUGUGGUACUCGCAAGUUCCUGGCGCAGCCUUGUGGCGCCAUCCCCAUGGCAGGCAAGUAUCCUGCUUAACGCUGUGAGUGACUUGCUUAGCAUUCGAACAACCAUUGUGUCCUCCCGCACAGUGUUGAGAAAGUCAGGGCUGCUCAGUGGUGAUGUGAUCUUAGAGAGCAGCCUUGGGUGUUUGCUUAUCUCUGCACAGUUCUCUUCGCCCUGUGUGAGCCCCUCGAGAAUCAGCAGGCCUUGAGAAACCAUCCCUCUGGCUCCUCCAGAUUCAUGUUCAGUUUGGUCCUUGAUCUGCAGUACUGUGUCAGCAGCUUGUGGCUCACAAGAUUGCUUAUUACAGCUUUCAAGUAGGGAACAGAUGCAUUGCAGUGUACCCGGGAAGUGAGCUAUAUUGAGGUCACUGGCAAGGUGUGCUACAAUCCUUGCGGCACGCUCUCUGUUCUCGACGUUAUCAGCUGUGCCUCUCAGACCAAUCAUGCCGAUCAGAUUCUGAACCGAGAUCCUGGAAGACAGUAGCUUUUGUCUUACAGACUUAUCCUCACUGAACAACUGGUCUAACACCCUUGCUCCCCAUAGAUGGUCGUCAUCCCCAGAUGCAGACUGGAGCUUCUCUACACCGUAUGCGAUCAAGUUCCAAUUGUCAGGAAGCUCCCCGUCCUUCCUGAACUUCCUAGCUGUUUCUGAAUAGUAGAGGGAAACGAUUUCUUUACGCCUUUCUUCAAGCCCACAGUGUUUUUCCGUUCGUGAUUGCAAUCUACCCUUCACACUGAAAAUGACUAUGUAGUAGGAGGCGAAUAAACUCUGGAACAGAAUUAGGCCAUAGAAGAUGUCCAGUGCGGCGUACAGUUUUGAUCUGUUGCCAAUAUCUCCACCCACAUCGUCGUAAUCUCGUCGUACAAGACGCCACACUGCGACCCCCAGGUUCACAAAUGGCGAAAGAACAUACAGAAAGGUAAAACACACGAUAAAAAUCCACUUCAGUACUUGCACCACACGCAGCACGAUUACAACCUUAUGCGCCUCGAACCAUUUCUGUUGCCGGAGAGUAUCAAUGAUGUCAUCCUCUUCCCAAUAAAUCCCUUUACUGAGCUCGUUGUUACUAAUUUCCGCCAUCCUGCGUAAUAUGUUGGAAAAGCUAAGGUUGUCUUUGUCCAUCGAUAUGACCAUUAAAAUUCAGGAUAUGGUGUCACACAGAAUUGGGACUUAGCUGCUUGCGGCAGUCACUCCAUGGCUAAUUACAAGACAUUUUUUUUUCUCUUUAGGAGUUGGAAGAGGUAGACACUCUAGCGGGACAGCCACAAUAUAGUUCAAGAACCGUUACUAUGCAUUUUGGAAGUUUCGGGAUCACGAUAAGAAUGCGGAACAAGGUUAAGAACUGCUGGUAAUAUUUACUCUAGUUCCUUUUUAACAAAAAUAUCGACUAUGAACACAGCCGCUUCCUGUACAACUACCGGGAGUAGGUUAAGGGUUAGUUAUAUAACUUUAAAGGCCAUUUUGGUCCAUCUAACUUUAAACUUAUCUUACACCAAAAAGAAGAGACAACAAUGGAUAUGCAAACAGUUAAACUAGCAAGGUCGAGACCAAAGCAGGUUACUUAAUUUUCCCUUAGACGCAACAUAUGGCCGAUGUUUUAUCAUUGUCUUUAUAUAUUUUUGGUUUACAAGAAUAUUUUUUUUCACAUGCAUACUUUGUCUAAAAACAUGAAGGCCAUAUGCUAAGUGUCGGGAUAGAUCCCUAUUACCCGCAAGGAAGGAAGAAGACGGACUCCAACUAAGAUUCUGUAAUCCAACUACAAAUCAAACCAUGUAAUACUACUAGGACUCCUCCUUGUAACCGACCAGUUAUCCCGAUCCCUGGAGUAUAUAAAGGAGGGCAGGGUACCUAGAUCGGCAGAACCACAACAGAGGACCAAAUCCUCAAUACCAAACAACACUCAAGUACAUGGCGCAAUAUACAACACCCUAAAUAGGAUGUAGGGUAUUACGCUACACUGGCAGCCCGAACCUGUAUAAAUCCGUGUCUUGUGUCCUCAUUUUUAUCAUCAAGUUCCAAGUCCGACGAUUCCCCACCAACCAAUCUACUACCUCGGGAUACCCCUCGAUAGGUUGCCGGGUAUAAAACACCGACAUCUGGCGCGUUAGGUUGGGAUGAUCGUUGAGAUCAUCGGGCAAGCUUGAAGGACCUCAUCUUCAAAAUCAAUCUACUCGACGAGAAGCAAGUCGCCGAGUUCCAAUUCGAAGCGGAUAUGGAAAGCUUGCGGGAGAUCAUCGGUUGUCGGCUUGUCUACAUGCAAAAAGCUGCAGCACUGGUCGCACUGCUAUAGCUGGUCAUCCUCCGUGGCUCUGUGCGUCGCUCAAGGCUGAUGAUCCGCUACUGAUCCACACCUGUGAGAAGGAAAAAUCCUGGCAAAAUUAUUUUUCCGUCUUCGAGUUCAAGUCACCGACGAUGCAUCUUAAGCUAAUUGCUUCCAGCUGCCAAAUCCUAUACUAAAGCAAUGAAGGCCAAUCAAUAUUCCAUCUACUGCUCGUGCGCAGAUUGAGGAAACUACCAGCUCGAUUACUCUCCGUGCAAGGCUACUUUUCAGGGUUUCAGUACACGUACCAGGAAGGCCACUAGGAGAUCUGUUCCUCUUCACUACAUGUACUCAAGAAAUGCACGUGGAACUUCAGAAUGCAUGACUACGCUAGCUUCACAAGAGCACUCAACGACACAAUAACGACUACCUAAAACUUCUCGUCUCAACUACAAACUAGUCGAGGGUGGGUUCCACGUGAUCAACAACUAGUCGGAAUCGACUCCGACUAGUCGGUUUCAUCAACAACCGCCGCGGCUUCAUGACGACCACCACGGGUUUGUCGAUAAUCGUCCACGAAUCAAGCUAAGUCACUUUUUUAAUUAUUUCAUAUAUUUUUUCGGGCUUGUUUUCCACAUGAUGGGCAACGUGCUGAGUACUUAUUUGUGUACGCCUCUCAACGGGAAUUAGCCACCAGAGCCACACUUUGCCGAUUAUUCCUGGGGUAUAUUGACCGACCGCCACGGGCUUGGUACAUCAAAUUAUGGAGGCUAUGGCCACGGGUUUGGCGCACAGAGUGUUGGAGGCUUGUAGCGGCUACACCCUAAGAAGGCACAAAUCCUAUAUGCGAACACACGCUCUUCUCGCUAAAAGGUAGAAAAGUCUCAUCGACUACUUUAUGCAAUCACGCUCUCUUUUUGUUGCAAUGUCGACUACUUAUUUUUGUUGUCUCCUAUUAGUGGCCACUAAUCUCCUCGAGUAGAACAUGUCUCAAUUCGUGAAAGCCUCGAAUCUUAUGUCAUACCUAAAUGUUAGGACGCGUACACGAGAGAAAGAUCUCAGAUGUGUAGCAGCAGUGACAGUACGCGUACACGAGACGAAGAUCUCACACGUAGUGACAAUAGCUAAAUAGGAGCUAAGUGCCAAAUAACUACUUGACGUGGCUCCUUCAGCUCAUCAGGUGUAUAAGCUCGGGGGCUGGACGCUGCAAAACUACUCAGAUGACGAUUGGCGUGAAGACUAAAGCUCGCUAGACCCUUGAAUUGGUUAUUUAAUCAUUUCAGGACUCGGGGGCUGAUAAGCUACACCCUGUCGGGGAUAGAUCCCCAGUACCCGCAAGCAAGGAAGAAGACAGACUCCUACUAGGAUUCCUAUAUAAUCCUACUAGGACUCAUACCAUGUACUCCUACUAGGAUUCUUUGUAACCGACUAGUAAUCCCACCACCUGGAGUAUAUAAAAGAGGGCAGGGGUCCCUAGAUCAGUAGGCCAAGACCUCAAAGGAAUACAACAGAGGAUCAAAUCCUCAAUACCAAACAACACCCAAGCGCAGGAUGCAAUAUACAAUACCCCAAACAUGAAGUAAGGUAUUACGCUACUCUGGCAGCCCAAACCUGUAUAAAUCUGUGUCUUGUGUCCUCGCUUUUACAAUCAAGUUCCAGGUCCGGCAAUCUUCCACCAACCAAUCUACUACCUCGGGAUACCUCUCGGUAGGUUGCCGGGUAUAAACACCGACAUCUGGCAUGCCAGGUAGGGGUGAUCGUCGAGAUCAUUGGGCAAGCUUGAAGGACCUCAUUAUCAAGAUCAAUCUACUCGGCACGGUAUGAUCAUUGUUACGUGCUGAGCAUUCUCAACUCAACAAUUUUUGAGUGCAAGUGCAAGACAAAGUUCAAGACCGAAUUGAUUUCCAGUGUUGCACUAGAUGAUCAUCUGAAGACGUGUUGAAUUAAUCACGCAGCCAGAUUGUUAUCACGGGAGCACAGGAGGACCAAGGCUCAUGGAUAAAUAUGGAGGCAGUCGGAUUCGACUUCAAGAUGAAAGUUCCCAUUUAUAUGGCUUGUACGAGCUUCUGGGCAAUCUGUGAUUAGGACAAGGAAACACCUGCUAUCGGAUUAGAAGGCGGAGGAAGACCACCAGCAUCAGAGUUCGAAGGUGAGUCGUAAUCAUCCGUCGAUCCCAUCUACGAAAAAAUACUACACUAUGCAGCUGUCGACAGGCGGAGGGACUCGUAAAUCUGUAAGGAAUCAGUGCUCGUAGCCUAAGAGGGGGAGGGGGUGAAUUAGGCAACUUAAAAAUUUAACCUAUGGCUUCCACUACUUUGCACAUAAGUAAACUAGAUCAUUCUAUCCUAGAAGUGCAUUCUAUGGUUGAUCCAAUGUAAAACCCUCAUCCUAAAAUAAGUUUUGCAAUCUAUAGCCAACCCUAUCAAGUUACUAUUCUAGGAAAGUAAAGGCACACAAGUUGCAAGUAUGAAAUGCGGAAACGUAAGAGGUUAGGAUGAGGGGAAGCAAACUAUUGACACAAUGAUUUAUCCCGUGGUAUCGGUAGGCACUAAGCAACCACUAGUCCAUGUUGUUGAAGCACUCAAACAAGAGUAAUGCUUCCCGCUCACCAAGUCUCUGCCAAAGUGCCCAUUGACUUGCCAAAAAGGCUCGGCCACUAAGACUCACACCAAGUCCCUCGGUCACCUUGAUACCAUCUCCACUAAGGAGCUUCUCCACGAAGGGAGGGGGUCUCCACGUCCCCUGCACAAGGUCAUCGACGCUGCUCCACACCAAGCUGGAGGGUUGAAGACUUUUCGGCGAGCCACCAAGGCUCCAAGGCACUGGCACACCUCUUGUACAACGGUAGUUCUCUCUAGAACCUGAUCACAAGGUUGGCACACCUUGCACUCACUCCUCUCUAGGCCUAUCCAACAUUGGAAACAUCUAGGAAAAUAGGCGUGAUUGGGUUCAAAAACCGGCCUGGCCGGUUUGAGUUCUAAAAUAGGCACUCGUUUCGGUGCUGUUAGUGUAGGUUUGAUUUGAAAUUUUCCAUCGGAUGCUUUGACGUAACAAUAAAAAUUACCAAGUGCAAUAUCAGCUAUCACAGUUUGUAACAUGAAAAAAUAAUAUGUAAAAAUGAUUACAUCCUUCGACUCUGGGAUAUAAAAUUCUCGCCACAACGUGAACACUAUGUUUCAUGCAACAUUCACUAUGAAACAUAUAGAAACAAUAGUUGCAACAUAUACGCUUAACUAUUGCAAUAUAUGUGGAGCCGUUCGAUUUUUUAAGAUUGCGAACGUAUACUUGAUUUCGAGUGAAGCUGGCGCCAAGUUUGCCCGCCGGCUCUCGAUUUCAUGAUCCGCCGCGGCCAAAUUCGUGCACAGGUACUCUAUUUUUAUUGGCGCUCGAUUUUGACUUUUGAGGUCCACUAGUGCCGUUCCGCUGACACCACCUUGCUAUCCUGCUCAGGCCGUCUUCUCUCCCUUCCUCUCUGGUCUCUCAGUCUCUCACUUGCAUAUGGGGUUUUGGUGAUCUAUCUGUCUCUCAUCGAUCAGUCGACCGAGGGGCCAUUAGAGUGAAAAUUUGACAUUAACAGCGACACAAGUUUUGACGGACGCAACGGCAAUGGCAGGCAUACAUAGAAGGAAAAUGAAGAAUUUGAAUGGCAGGUUCACUUAUAAGGAAAGCUAAUGUAGUACCUGAAUGACAUGAGGAAGCUGAGUGCAGUGAGGACCCAGAAUUCCUUGAGCAGGAGAUCGUCGAUGAAGCCUCCGAGGAGCACGACGGUGGACCACAGCAACGCCAGGAAUCCCAGAGCGCUUACAAUGUUCCCCGUGGCGGUCCGAAGCCUCACGUAGCGAUUGAUCAUCAGCACCUCCGGCCUUCCGACGUCCUCUUCCAUGGUUCCUUAAUUUUUGUCAAAACUCUGAAAGAAAUUAAACGAACGUUUGCAAUAAUGGAGGAGGCCGAUGUCUGGUUUGCCUUUGGCAAUGGGAUUUGCCAGCGUGUGGUCACUGCUCAUGCUGCCCGAGUAAUGGGUAGCUUGACCUCUCCAUUUCUGGGUCGCGUUAGUUCAGCAGAUGCUGUCACAACAUGCACAUGAAGAGGGAGCACAAGUGGUAAUAGCUUCCAACCAAAUUAAGUUUUGGAUGCAAUAAACAAAUACUCCAGCCGGCGGAUUGUUUCUAACAAAUCAUGUGAUUUAAUGGAAGUUUCCAACCGGUACACCUACAGACAUACGCAAGAAGGUGUUUUUUUUUCAAAUAUAAUAAAUAGAUAGACAAACUAGUAAUAACAAAUGCAACAGCCGGCGGAUUGUUUUUUAAUAGACACAACAAAAGACACAUACAGACAUACGCAAGACGGUUUUUUUCCCCCAAAUAUAAUAAACAGAUAGACAAACUAGUAAUAACAAAUACUCCUGUUGGGGGAAAUAUUAACGAUCCCCUAAAUACCGCUUAAAAAAGCAGACGCGAAGGUCCGGGCCCACCUAGCAUAAUCAAAACUCCACCUCGCCCGACCACGGUCCCAGGGUCGGGAGCGCCCGACCUCCCUCCACGAGGCUUCCGCCUCGUCCGACUGCGACCCCGGGGUCGGGGGUGCCCGACCCCUCGCCGCAAGGUUCCGCCCCGUCCGACCCCGAGCACAGGGGUCAGACUCGCUGGGGCCCCCAGGGCAGACAUCCCCCUCGGAUGCGGUCCAGGUGGACAAGAUAAACAAUCCCGUGGGUCCCCCCGUCGGCCUCGUCAUAAAUGCGCCGCAGGCUUGGCAGGGGGAAGGAUGACCGCGCUCCUCACGCAACCCGCUGCAAGUACCCAUGCACGACCAUACUGUACAAGCUACAGUGCUGGCGGCUCCCUCCCAUUCACCGCAGGGUACUCAUGGCCUGCGCCGACCGGAGCGGAGGAGAGACUCGCCUGUCCUCAGGCCCCGCGCGCCCUCGGGUCCCGCGCGCCCGGCAGCAAGGAUGUGACGCCCUCUCUCCAGGAGCCAUCAUCAGAACGGUAGCAUCCACCGUCCUCCCCAACGGACACCGGGAUGACGACGAAACGCCUUCAUCAUAACCCGACGCCUACGAAUGCCGAAGGAGCUAUCUGUAGGGCGCGACGACAGUUGGCACACGGCCGCCCCCCCUCCGGCAUGCACGCCGGCGCUCGUCAGGGGCCGGCGAAGGCGUCGGGCGUCUAGGAACUUGUUCCUCCCUUUCUGCCGUAUUUUUUACCGUACUACGUUUAUACUUUUACGGUCCUCUUCGCCCGAUCCCAGCUGUAACUCCGGCCACCCCCCUUACAAUAUAAAAGGAGGCACCAAGGGCCGGAGGAGGGGAUCAGCUUCUUCUCCCACAAGCCACAGCACACUAGUACGCUCCCUGAGAGCACAAGCACAAAGAGACUUGGGACCAGUCCCUCUCUCGUCGAUCUGUAACCCCUACUACAGAACUCUGCGUGGGCAAUACGAGCAUCCUCGACACUAGACGUAGGGCUUCCCUUGCCCGAACCAGUCUAAACCCGUGCCUCCCAUGCCACCACCUGAGGCCUUACUCGCAUAAAAGAAAUUUACUAGUCUAAGUCUUGAUUCGCCAAUCUUGACGACGACAGUUGGCGCGCUAGGUAGGGGACCUUUGCGCGUACAUUCCCAGCCUCAGAUGGCCAAAUACGAUAGUAGCUUUGCUCCGGGCUCCCUGAUCCGAUUCGGGAGCUGGGACUUCCUCGCCACCGGGGAAGGGAUCGAGCUGCUCCCUGUCCUCGUCCUGCCUGCUCGCCCAGCUGCCCCCGGCCCCGCCGCCGGGACAGCGGCGAGCGGCCGGUCGCGUACCGGAAGAACCUCGCCAGGGGGAUAGCCCUUCGGGCUAUGCAACGCCACGGGGGCUUACGGACACCUCCUAGCGCAGUCCAUGACCGCGUCGCCCGCGAGCAAUGAGCUCGUAGGCGCGACAAGGACGAUCUCCGACACCAGCUCCAGCAGCGGGAGCCCCACCCCUCGCGUGAGUGCCUCGUGGCCGACGCGCACUCCGAGGGAUCCAACGGCAACAAUGCCGAGGGGAGACAAAGGGCUCCCCCCUCGCGCGCCGCGGCUACGACCGGAGCCUUACCAAGGGUGCCGGAGUGCUGUCAGCAACCAGAGGCGCGCGCAGGCGCCCGCCAAGAAGUUGAGCACCCCCACCACGAGGGUGGAGCAUGACAACGGGCGCGCGACGUCUAGCAACGCAUCUGCGCGGACGAAGAGCAUCCGCAGCUCUUCGCCCACGCCAGCCAAAACGUCGUAGCCGCGGCGGUGUUGCUCCGACAGCUCCCCGAACCAGCGACGCCCGAGGAGCGACGGGCAUGCCAAGAGAUGAGCAACCUGCUCGAAUGCGCCGCCGUCCAGCAGGCGGAAAGUUCCGCGUCCAGGCGACGCGGGCAGAACGCCAGCAGGGCGACGCCCGACACGCCCCCGGAAAGGCGGGGGGAGUCUGUCCAUCAACCUCCUCCUAGGUCAAAUCAGGCCGCGUCCGCCCGACGGACUCCACCACCCGCGGGAGGUGAGGCUCGAUCCGUCCACCAGCGCGUCGGGCUCGUCCGCGACGCCCGCGACACCCUGAGCGCGCGGAGACGCUCCUGCAUGGACAGGGAGGACGGGGUAGAUUGAGGCUACCACGUCCACCGUGGCAGGCGCUACGAUAGCGGGGAAGACCGCAGCCCGAGCCCCGGUCCGGCUGGGCCCCGGGCCUUCUCUGCGCGCAUCCUGAACGCGCCUUUCCCGCCGCGCUUCAGGCAACCCACAAGUAUAGCCAAAUACUCUGGGGAGACGAAUCCUGGGGUAUGGCUCAGCGAUUACAGGCUUGCAUGUCAAGCCGGCGGGGCGGAUGAUGACCUGUUUAUCAUCCGCAACCUACCCCUCUUCCUAGGCGACUCAACGCGAGCUUGGCUAGAACAUAUCCUUUCGGGACGAAUCCGCAGCUGGAACGACCUGAAGGAGGUUUUCAUAGGGAACUUCCAAGGCACAUACACACGCCCCGGCAAUUCCUGGGACCUCCGGAGCUGUUGCUAGGGGGCGGACGAGUCUCUCCGGGAUUAUAUCCGAUGCUUCUCCAGGAAGCGCACCGAGCUCUCCAACGUCGCAGACGCCGACAUCAUAGGGGCUUUCCUAGCGGGAACCUCCUGCCGGCCCCUCGUCCACGAGCUGGGGUGCCGAGGCCCGCGAACCACGGAGGAGCUCCUCAAUAUCGCCACUAGCUACGCCUCGGGCGAAGAGGCUGCUGGAGCGAUCUUUGACCGCUCCAAAGGCAAGGCGAAAUGGGAGGAGGAGGCUGACGAAGGCACCUCCAACCGCCAGCAGAAGAAGAAGGGCAAACAGCGGCGCGAGGCCCCCCUCGUGGCCGCAGUCAAGCGCAAGCGAGGGCAGCCACCCCCCGAGGGUACUCCCGGCUUCUUUGACAAGUUGCUUGAGGGACCGUGCCCGAACCACGAGUUCCCCGUGAAGUAUGCCUACAAAGACUGCAACCUCAUGAAGAGAUACUUCGUGAGCAAUCCGGUGAAAGGCGACCGGAAGCGGAAGCCCGAUGAGGAAAAGAAAGGCAACGAAGAGAAGGAAGACGGCUUCCCCAAGGUGGACGGCUGCUUCAUGAUCUUCGGCGGCUCCGCGGCGUACGACACCAAGCGCCAGCAGAAGCUGGAGCGCCGGGAGGUCUACGUGGCCGAGCCAGCGACUCCGGCCUUCCUGGACUGGUCGGGGCCGGCCAUCACCUUCGACAGGUCCGACCACCCUGGAUGCGUCCGGCAUCCGGGGCGUUACCCUCUCAUCGUCAACCCCAUCAUCGACACGACGUGCCUCACCAAGGUGCUCAUGGAUGGGGGCAGCGGCCUCAACAUCCUCUACGCCGAGACCCUCGACGCUAUGGGGAUCGACCGUUCCCGCCUCCGUCCCAGCAGGGUGCCCUUCCAUGGCGUCGUGCCAGGGAAGCAGGCAAUGCCCCUCGGGCAAAUCGACCUGCCCGUUACGUUCGGGACCCCUUCCAACUAUAGGAAGGAGGUCCUCACCUUCGAGGUGGUGGGGUUCUGCGGAACCUACCACGCCAUCUUGGGACGGCCAUGCUACGCAAAGUUCAUGGCUAUCCCCAACUACACCUACCUCAAGCUCAAGCUGCCAGGGCCCAACGGGGUCAUCACCGUCGGCACGACCUUUCAGAAGGCGUAAGAGUGCGACGUAGAGUGCUGCGAGUACGCCGCGGCCAUCACCGUCACAAGCGACCUGGCGGCCCAGCUUGCGGAGGCCACCGAGGACCGGCCCGACUCCAAGCAGCCGAACAUCUCCUUCGAGCUCGCUGAAGGCAUCAAGGAGGUCCCCCUCGAUCCCAGCUGUUCCAACGGAGGAGUCAUGCGGAUCAGCGCGGCCUUAUCCCCCAAAUAGGAAAGCGCGCUCGUCGACUUCCUCCGCGCGAACAGCGAUGUCUUCGCGUGGAAGCCCUUGGACAUGCCCGGCAUUCCGAGAGAAGUCGCCGAGCACUCCUGGAACAUCAAGGCCGGCUCCAAGCCAGUGAAGCAAGGAUUGCACCAUUUCGACGAGGAAAGGCGCAAGGCCAUCGGCGAAGAGCUCCAGAAGCUUCUGAUGGCCGGGUUCAUCAAGGAAGUGCACCACCCCGAGUGGCUGGCUAAUCCUGUCCUUGUAGCAAAAAAGAACGGGAAAUGGAGGAUGUGUGUCGAUUAUACCGGUCUCAACAAAGCGUGUCCAAAGGAUCCGUUUCCUUUUCCACGCAUAGAUCAAAUAGUCGACUCAACCACCGGGUGCGAGACCCUCAGCUUCCUCGACGCAUAUUCCGGCUACCAUCAGAUCGUGAUGAAAGAAGCUGACCAGCUCGCUACCUCCUUCAUCACCCCCUUUGGCCCCUACUGCUACAUUAAGAUGCCAUUCGGCCUCAAAAACGCGGGGGCUACUUUCCAGCAAUGCAUGCUGAAGUGCUUCGGAGACCUCAUCGGGUGGACCGUUGAGGCCUACGUUGAUGACAUCGUAGUUAAAUCCAGGAGGGGCGACCAGCUCGUUCCCGACCUUGAACUAGCCUUCGAAAGGCUGAGGGAUAAGCGCAUUAAGCUCAAUCCUGAAAAAUGUGUGUUCGGAGUCCCAAGGGGCAUGCUAUUAGGCUUCAUCGUCUCCGUACGCGGCAUUGAAGCAAACCCGGAGAAGAUAGCGGCCAUCAGCGACAUGGGGCCAAUCCGGAACAUAAAGGCAGUUCAGCGCGUCAUGGGAUGCUUGGCGGCUCUAAGCCGCUUCAUCUCGUGCCUCGGUGAGCGAGGGCUUCCUCUCUAUCGGCUCCUGAAGAAGAGUGACCGCUUCGAAUGGACCGGCGAGGCCCAGGAGGCACUUGACUGACUCAAGGACCUCCUGACGAAGGCCCCGAUCCUAGUCCCGCCUACCGACGGCGAGUCCCUUCUGCUCUACAUCGCGGCGACCACCCAGGUGGUUAGCGCAACCCUGGUGGUGGAAUGAGAAGAGGAGGGACACGCUCUCAAGGUGCAACGCUCGGUGUAUUUCAUCAGCGAAGUCUUGUCCGAAUCCAAGACACGUUACCCGCAGAUCCAGAAGCUCAUCUACGCCAUCCUUAUCACGAAGAGGAAGCUGCGCCACUACUUCACCUCCCACCCGGUAACAGUCAUUUCAUCAUUCCCGUUAGGCGAAGUAAUCCGGAACCCAAACGCUACAAGGAGGAUCGCGAAGUGGGCGCUUGAGCUCAUGGACUAGGGUAUCACCUACGUCCCCCGCACCGCCAUCAAGUCCCAGGCACUCGCCAACUUCGUGGCAGAGUGGACGGAGAUUCAAACACCAUCGGCACCAGAGAAGCAAGAGUAUUGGACAAUGUACUUCGACGGGCCACUGAUGAGGGCCCGCGCCGGAGCGGGUCUCGUCUUCAUCUCUCCCUCGGGCGUGCGCAUCAGGUACAUGAUCUGCCUCCAUUUUCCUGCAUCCAAUAAUGUCGCCGAGUACGAAGCCCUCCUCAACGGACUCCGCAUCGCCAUCGAGCUGGGUAUCCGUCGGCUGGACAUCCGGGGCGAUUCCCAGUUAGUCGUCGAACAAGUCAUGAAGGAGUGGAGCUGCCACGACCUCAAAAUGGCAGCCUACUGCAACGAGGUCUGUAAGCUCGAAGAUAAGUUCGACGGGCUAGAGCUCAACCACGUCGCAAGGCGCUUUAACGAGGCCGCCGACGAGCUGGCGAAGGCAGCGUCCGGCCGAAUGCCCGUCCCCGACGGUGUCUUCGUUAGCGACCAGUUGAAGCCUUCAAUCCGUUACCCAGAACUGACAGGGGUCGGCGAAGCACUCCCAGCCCUGGGAUCAGGACCCGAGUCAGGGGAGGUCGGCAGCGCGCCACCUGUCCCAGACCCGAGCACCAGUCCCGAGGGGGUUGACACCGCUUUGCCCGACUCGGCCCCGGGAGCCGAUUCGUCCGACCCCGUGGUCAUGGAAAUCACGGCAGACCCCGCGGUAGGGGCCGACCCCCCAAUCGACUGGAGAGCCCCAUACCUCGACUACCUCGUCCGCGACACGCUCCCGGCAGACAAAAUGGAGGCCCGUAGGAUCGCGCGCCGCGCCAAAUCCUUCGCCAUCAUCGACCGGGAGCUCUACAAGAAAAGCCACACUGGGAUCCUCCAGCGCUGCAUCCCGAUCGAACAGGGAAAGGUGCUGAUCCAGGAUAUCCACGCCGGAGCUUGUGGUCACCACGCCGCGCCGAGGACCCUCGUUGGCAACGCCUUCCGACAAGGUUUUUACUGGCCGACCGCGGUCGCUGACGCUACCCAGGUAGUCCGCACCGGUGAAGGGUGCCAGUUCUUUGCCCGCCAGACUCACCUGCCCGCGCAGGCGUUGCAGACCAUCCCCAUCAUGUGGCCGUUCGUGGUCUGGGGGCUGGAUCUCGUCGGACCCUUCAAGAAGGCGCCCGGGGGCUUCACCCACCUGCUUGUCGCUGUCGACAAGUUCUCCAAAUGGAUCGAGGCAAGACCGGUGGCGCAAAUCAGGUCCGAGCAGGCGGUACAGUUCUUCACUGACAUCAUCCACCGCUUCGGGAUCCCAAAUUUCAUCAUCACCGACAACGGUACGCAGUUCACUGGGAAGAGAUUCCUCCAGUUCUGCGACGACCACCACAUCCGAGUGGAUUGGGCGGCCGUGGCGCACCCCCGCACGAACGGGCAAGUCGAGCGAGCCAAUGGCAUGAUACUCCAGGGUCUCAAGCCACGGAUCUUCGACCGCCUUAAGAAGUUCGGCGGACGGUGGGUUGCGGAGCUUCCCGCAGUCCUUUGGAGCCUGAGGAUGACCCCCAGCCGGGCGACGGGCUUCACCCCAUUCUUCAUGAUCUACGGGUCAGAGGCCAUUUUGCCCACCGAUCUAGAGUACGGAUCGCCGAGGGUCAAGGCAUACGACGAACAGGGAAACCAGGCAUCACUCGAAGACGCACAAGAUGAACUCGAUGAGGCGCGAGACGUAGCCCUACUACACUCGGCUAAGUACCAGCAGGCCCUACGGCGUUACCACAGGCACAAGUUGACUCCCCCAUGGGAAGGCCCGUUCAUCGUCGUGCAAGUACUACGGCCAGGCACCUACAAGCUGGCGACUCCCGACGGGCAGGUCUUCAGCAACGCCUGGAACAUAGAACAGCUAAGGCGCUUUUACCCAUAGCUCUUAUUUCCAAGUUCUGCACAAACUUGUCUUCAAUUCCGAUAAUCCCGUUAAGCUCAGGGGUAUCCGACCCUGGCCUCGUUCUAGGGCCGCAUACCCCUCGGGGGCUACCAGUUUUGUUCUUCUACAAAAAAAAAGAAACCCCAAGCCGUCUCGGUUCAGGCUUUUCCUGGUAAGCUCAGGGGUAUCCGACCCUGGCCUCGUUCCAGGGCCGCAUACCCCUCGGGGGCUAUCAGGGGUUCCGACCCCAGCCACUUGGCACCAUCUAAAAGAAACGUUUUUCUUUUCAAACCAAACACUCCCUUUCUAGACUUUUGGACGCAAAAAGAGAAGAAUGCGCGAACGGUGCUCAGGCAAGAUUGAUCGGACUGCGAAAAAACCUACGCCCCAGCGGCUACGGCACCUUCGCUCAUCAAAGCUUACUGACGCACCCGACAACGUAUUCUAAACUUUCAAGCCCAAAGGAACAGUAAAGGGGAUCUGAAACUUUCGCACGGCAAAAGUUAUAAACAGGCCCGUAUGGCCAUCAUGAAACAAGUUCGAAACUGACAUAAUUACAAUUUGGGCGCAAGCCCGGUACAGUUAACUUGACGGGGGGUCGGCAGGAGGGACGGCCUCAUCUUCCAGGAGCUUCGCGAGGGCCUCCGCCGGUGCGAACACCGCUGCAUCAAUCUCGUCCAGCUCGGCUUUGGAGUAAUCGGCGGCGUACCCGUCGCUCAUCCCGGCAAAGUUGAUGCCAGAAUAAUGGGAGCCGAAGACCCCGAAGGCUCGCCGCACGCCGACGUGAAGCGCGUCCACGGCGAUCUCGCGACGCCGACGGUGUACCCCGAGGACACGAGCCGGCAGAGAGCUCGACCCCUCCUCCGGAACCACGCCAAAGUCAUCGCAGACGACGCGGACCGCAUCCUACAGGGUGCUGAGCUCACUACGCUCUGCGUCGAGCAAGCCCUUUAGCUUGGCGAUUUCGCCUGUAGGAAUCAUCCGGAAAAGCUCACCGAGUUAAGAACAAACCGCAACAACACGAGAACGCGGGAACGGAAAGGAGACUCACCGUCAGCCCAGGCCUUCAGCUCGCGCUCCCGGUCGGCUCCUCGAGACACGGCGGUCUGGAGUCCCUGCUCGGCCUCCUCUUUCUUGGCGCUCUGCGUCCUAGUCUUGCAAAGCUUGGUGCCGCUCGCGCCGGACGCGCUCAACGGUCUUCUGGAGGGCUUCAUACUCCCCCCUCAGUCGGGCAAGCUCCUCAACGUCGUGGCGGGCCUUCUCAGCGGCAGCCUUGAACUCCUCAUGGUCGAGGCGGGUCUUUGUCGAUGACGGCUUGGAGCUUGGCCUCCGAUCACCGUGCCUCCUCCAGCGCCGCCCCCUCACACCUUUGCAGGUCGCGGAUGACCCCCUGGGCAGCAGUGACCUGCAGGGACAGCUCCCUGGUGUGCUCCCUCUCCGCGUUGAAGCGGUCCCAAAGCCCCCGCUCCAGCCGGAGGAAAUCGGAUUUCCCCCGACUGCACUCUUGGAGGGCCUGCAAAGCAACGUGCCAUCAGGGAUAAAGCAAUGAGAGAUGCUGAUCACCAACAGUAGGGGCAACAUACCUGGUUGCCAGGGAGAACGGUGUUGCCCAGAACCCCCAACGCCAAGGACAGAGCCGCGUGGGCGUGGGCAAGGCCACCCUGCACCGCCUGCCACUUGUGCCACUCCGUGGCGUCGUCCAGCGUGAAGAGAUGCCUCGGUGGGUCCUCGCAGGAUGACCAGCGAAGGACGGACCCUCUCCACGCCUUGGGAACGGUGGGAGCCGAGGCCGAGGUAGGAGCCAAUCCUGACGCUGCCGUCAAGGUCAGCACCAUCGCACUAGAAGCCGCCGGGUUCACCGACGGCCCCGGUACCUACACACUCGUCGCCGCCGAGGCCGCCGUAGGGUCGCCCCAUGGCGGCGCCGCCUCCAGCGCAAGCGGCGGUAUCCCCGCGGCUACCUCGCCCCCCACCGCAACCACCUAUGGAGGCUCCUCCGUUCCUGCCGGAGUCCCCCCAGCGGGCCCCUCCGCCUCCGUCGCCGGAGCCACUUCCGCGAGGGUAAUCGGGGUGGAGCUCCCCGCCUCCGUCACCGUUGCCUCCGCCGCCACGCUUUCGUGGGCAGGCACUCCCUCCGCCGCCGAUCCCGCCACGGCUGCGGGGGCAUCCGCCCCACCUCCCGUCGCCGCCGUCUCUUCCGCCUCGUCGGCGUCAAGGUCGAUCACCUCCCCAGCCUGAGAACCUGGGGGGAUCGUGCCCUGCGCUGUAGGGGCGACUGGGGGAACCGAAGGUGGAGUGGGGUCCGCUCCCCCUCCUGCGACCGAUGCCGCCGUCGCUCCGCCAGCCGCCAUCACAGGGGCCGCCUCCGCGGAGGGGUCCGCAGCCUCACUAGGGACCCCACCGCUCGCCGCGGGCGGGACCGCGGUCCGCCCCCCGGAGGAGGACGACAACCGCAACGCCUUCUUAGGCGCCAGCUGCAGGGCAAGACCACGAGGAGUGGCGCUGCACAUCGACGAACAAACGUCAGCACCUCGGCGCAAGGGGAGAGGAACGAGAUGCAAGGGAGGCCAACUUACAUUCUUGAAGCACAAGGACGGCGCGCGCGCUUCGCCUCGGAGCCUGACACCGAUCCCGGGACAUCCGGCAGCGGCCGCUUGUCGCCGCUUUGCUGCCCUCCAGUCGCGGGUGCGGCGGUGGAGGCGGUCUCCGCGGACCCCCGAGGAACGCCCUGGGCAGACUCCUGGGGGGCGCCCCGCGCCGGCUCCAAAGCGGCGGCGGGGGCAGGCUCCGAAGACCCUCGAGGGGUGCUCCGCACCGGCUCCGGGAAGGAGCCCCGUGUCGACCCCUGGGGGGCACCCCUCGUCGACCCUUGGGGAGCAUCCCACGCCCGCUCCUGGGAGACGCCCCGCGCCGGCCCCUGGGGGGCGUCCCGCGUCGACUCCUUGGGGGCACCCCACGCCGGAUCCAAAGCGGUGGCGGGGGCAGGCUCCGAAGACCCCCGAAGGGCGCUACGCGCCGGCUCCGGGAAGGAGCCCCGUGUCGACCCCUGGGGGGCACCCCUCGCCGACCCCUGGGAAGCGUCCCGUGCUCGCUCCUAGGAGACGCCUCGCGCCGGCCCCUGGGGGGCGUCCCGCGUCGUCUCCUGGCGGGCGCUCUGUACUGGCCCCUGGGGCGCAGCCCCAGGGCCUUGCGGAGCCAAGGCCCGGGCACAUGCCUCCUCCGCUUCACCCCCCGCGGCCGUCCGCGGGCAUGCCUCCCGAAUUGCGAGUGCGCCUGAUCGGAAGGAGGAAAUCAGUUCCUCCUCCUCAUCAUCUUCCUCAUCUUCAUCCUGGGAAAUGCCCCUUUGCCGAGUGUUAAAGCCAAAACACUCAGCAAAGGCCCCUCUUUGCCGAGUGUUACACUCGGCAAAGUGACCAGAACCCCCCCUUUUUCGACAUUUUGCCACGUAUAACGGACCCCUCUCAAUUCACAAUACACAUAUCACAGGCAUUUGUAAUAAACAACCACAUGCAUAAUUCACAACCACAGGCAUAAUUCAACAUAAGCACGAAAUAAUCCAUAAAUCCAAGUUCUUGUCACAAUUUAGUUUCCACAUUGUUCACAACCAAGUCUACUUCCGUGGAGGCCAAGGAGACCACUGCGACAAAUCUUGAUCUUCAUUAUUCGAAGCCGCCGAUUGAUUCUGCACAUAGGAUAGGACAUUCUGAGCUAACAUCUAAAGUUGUCAAAUUUAAAGUAUUAAAUCUUAAGCACAAUGUGUCAAGUGACUCACAGGAGUAGUCGUGGGUGGCUGAGGCGGAGGGAACAUCAUCGGCGGUGGCGGAGGCAAAGACUGUCCCAUGCUCGAAGCAAAGUUCUGCAUGUACUGGAACAUCUGCUCCAUCUGAAAUACAUGUAUCGAUUCAUCUCAAAAUCUUACCGGAUCCUUCCAACUUCUACGAAUCCUCUCCGGAGAUGCUUCGAAUUCUAAACAUCAUAUGUCAAAACUUGUGCGAAACCUUGUCAAUUUUUUACCACAGCCUCUGCAUAUGAAAUCAUAGCAUCUUGCAAAAUCUCGUGAUUUUCAAACUUUGUUUGUAUUUUUGAGAAUUAAACAAUCAUUUGGCCACACGUUCGUAGUCGUGUUUCCUUAGCAAAAUGUUCGAAAUUUCUUUUCAUUUUCUGGGUGAGACCUCAAUUUGGACUCACUAACAUGAAUAUGAUUUUUCCACUCAUAUUAUUCCAUUAUUCCAAUCACCUGCAAUUCAAAUUUGACUUAAAUCAAAAAAAUACUCUAAAUGAAAUUAAUUGAUUAAAUAUAGCAAACAGGUCAAAAAAUAGUCCACCUUCUACCAUGCAGUGCCAAAUGCCAUACAUGUGGAGUGUAAAAAGUUUGGAGGGUGGAGGAGGGAAAAAAAAUUACUUUUGCCGAGUGUGUCGAAAAACACUCGGCAAACCCUAAAGUAUGCCGAGUGUUCCCCCUAGCACUCGGCAUACUCGCCACUUUGCCGAGUGUCCCAUGACGAAACUCGGCAAAGUAGUAGGUUUGCUGAGUGUCCCAUGACGACACUCGGCAAAGUAGUAGGUUUGCCGAGUGUUCCAUCACGACACUCGGCAAACUAGUGGCUUUGCCAAUUGCCCCCCGUCGACACUCGGCAAAGCCUAACGUCCGUCACGGCGCCGGCCCGUCGCGGCACGGGGAAGUCACGUGCUCAUCACUUUGCCGAGUGCUCCAUCUUUGCCGAGUGCCCCGUGGGUGUUUGCCGAGUGUUUUUUUGGUGGCACUCGGCAAAUAGGCUCUUUGCCGAGUGUAUUAUGUUUGUCGAGUGUUUUGAGUAUUGCACUCGGCAAACCGGUCCUUCGCCGAGUGCCUGCAAUAAUACACUCGGCGAAGUAAUUACACUCGGCAAAUUUGAGGUUUCCCGUAGUGUUUAGCAUGUCAUCAUAGAAAUAUUGUAACAUGAAGCUUCUCAUUAUUAGAACACCGAACAUGUAAGGAACUGUAUUAUCCUAUGCUUAACGAGGGACAUCCACCUACCAUGGAUGUACAUCUUCAAAAGAUUAUGGUAAAAAGAACACCAAACAAUGAGACGUACAUUUGAUGGUUAAGAACUCUGGCAUGGGUUGACGCAUGGGAGACUUGCAUCCUGCAUGGGUUUUGUUUGUUGUUGGGCUUAGAACGAAUGAAGGAGACCUUGCAUUGGAGUUUGGAGGUGGUUGACCCGCGCCCAUUGGUGGUGAUGGACGGUGGCCAGGGCGUGGGUAGCCACGGGUGGUCGUGGUGUGGAGCUAUCAUCCAAGAGGUAGCAGCGCUGGCUUCAAAUUAAGAAGGUGAAGAGGACUCGAACCUUUUGAUCAGGGAAUGAAACUGUGCUGUAGGUGGGGAUGCUUAUGACAUGCUGCCUCCUGGACCAUGAGGUUUUCGACGACGAAAUGCGUCAAAGGUGAGUAUAGUUUGUACAGAAAUCCUCAAUUUCUUUGCCCCAGCAGAUCGAUUCAUCAAAUGCAAAGCUGUUCAAUGAUGGACGUAUUUUUCUUGCUGAAUAUACUGUACAUCACUACUUAGACAGCACACGAUUAUAUUGUCAACGAGAAUUGGAAAUCUUAGUUCUGAAACAAGAGUAAAAACACACGUUUAUUCUCUCACACUCACACAAAUAGGCCCAGAAGACGAUUUAUAGAUAAAGUACGUCCUUGAUACAAACACGUGCAUAUCGAUAGUAUACUUGACGAUGUCCCCUUGAUCAGGCAGAGAUCAAUCAGUUACCCUUUUCCUAUGCUGUCUCUAGGAGCUCCUGUGUUUCCUUAACAAGAGAAGGGAGAAACCUGGCAGGCCUGAUCACCUCACGAUCAUUCCCAGCGAAGAGCAUGCAGUCAUCAACCUCAGACAUGGUUUCCAAUGUUAGAAAAUAACAUCACUGAUUCUUAGGAUCUGAUAGCCUCGGCCAGUGUUUCCUCGAAAUUAUGUUCAUUGAAACGUUGGAUGCAGCUGGGCUGGGCUUUAAUCAUAGUUACCACCACGUGGCAUGUAAACUUCACUACUUCCCAACACUCAGCCGUGCAGUGCUUGUUUACUUUUAGUAUCUCCUUGAGCUUCUUCACCAGUGUUUCAUCUCCACGGGUGGCACGAGCAAAAUCUUCUCUACUCAUAGCAUUUUUGGUGCACAUCACCACGGCGAUGGAUAAGAUGGCUGCCAUUGAUUUUAUUUCCUCGAAUUGCUUCUCGAUUCCAUGAAUAAGAAUACGUAAAAGGGAAGCAACAAACACAAUUACUUCCAUUUUACUAGGUAAUAUCUUACCGAGCGCCUGCGAAAACAUAAUUUAACAAAAAGGACCAGCAAUGUCAUAACCAUAUCAUACAUGAUACAGAUUCAUGCAUGCAGCUCAUCCCUGGUCUAAGAAUGAUGUUGUUUUAUCUGUACAUAAACUAUUUGAAAGAACUCAACUAAUUAUAUUGAACAAAUUAAGAUGCCCCCUUGGAAUUUAGUUUGUAUAUCUAUCUAAUGCAAGUACUAAUUAGCAAAUACAAUUAUUAAAUAUAUUAUGAAAUGAUAUAUAAUUUGGAUCAGAAGGGAUACUAAUGUUGACCCACUAAAUUCAUUUGAACUCUUGGGGAAAAUAUUCUACACUACAGAAGUAAGCUAAUUUACUGACAUUUGAGAGAAUGGGAAUAAGUUCAAAAGCGAGUUACCUCGGUCGACCAGGUUUCAAUUUUUGUUAAAGCCCUUUUGGCUGCAUCUGCAUUUGUUCCCAUUUUACUAGAUAGUAUUUGGUCAUGCUCCUACAACAUGAUUUAACACAAGGGAUCAGCAGUGUUAUAAUCAUAUUUUACAUGAUACAGAAUGAUGCAACUCAUCUCUAGUAGAAGGAUUAUGUCAUGUUAUAUGUACAUAGGUUAUUGACAGGAGUUAAUGAAUUACUCAAACACAAGUUAAGUUGGCCCCAUGUGGUUUCAUAUGUAUAUCUAUCUAAUGCAAGUACCCAUUAGCAGCUUGGAUGAAUAUAAAUGACAAAACUGCCUAGCAAAUAAUAAUAUCACAAUUAUAAACUAUCUUACAAAAAUGACAUAAUGGCCACUCUGCACGCUCUACACAGCAUGGCAGCCGAAACUUUGAACUGCUCAACAAGGCUAACAUAGUCCUCGUCCCCAAGAAAACAGGCGCAGAUAAUGUGACAGAUUAUAGGCCAAUUAGCCUAAUACACAGCAUUGCAAAGCUCUUCACUAAGAUAUUAGCCUUGCAGCUGGCCCCAGCUAUGACAAACAUCAUCUCCAAUCACAGAGUGCUUUCAUCAAAGGGCGCAGCAUCCAUGAUAACUUCAUGUAUGUGCGCGGAAUGGCUAGAUGCUUUCACCGUAACAAAGUCCCUAUGCUUCUUGUGAAACUCGACAUUGCCAAGGCCUUCGAUUCCGUCCGUUGGGACUAUCUACUAUCGCUACUGGAGCACUUGGGAUUCCCACCAAGGUGGAGGGAAUGAAUUACUGCAAUAUGCGCCACUUCCUCGUCACAGGUCCUACUAAACGGCAUUCCUGGAGCACCAUUCUCACAUGCACGAGGUCUCCGGCAAGGGGACCCACUCUCCCCUCUGCUCUUCAUACUUGCUAUUGAUCCGUUACAACGACUGCUGCAGCUAGCCACGGAGAACAAAUUGCUGACCAAGAUUGGCCGAAACCACCACCGACUGCGGACAUCCUUAUAUGCUGAUGAUGUUGUCCUCUUCAUCCGGCUUGUCAAAGGGGAGAUGGCAAACCUCUCAAAGCUACUCGACCUAUUUGGCAAAGUGACUGGCUUGAACUCCAAUCUCCAAAAAUCAACGGUUGUGCCAAUCAACUGUGACAACCUUGACCUGGAUGAUAUCCUGCAAGACUUCAAUGCGCGAAGAGGAAGUUUCCCGAUAAAGGACCUGGGCAUUCCAUUGACAGUAAGGCGUCUACAGAAUGUCGACUAUCGGCCUUUGAUUGACAAGGCGGCUUCCAGACUAUCAGGCUGGUGGGGUUGAAACUUGACACAUACAGGGCGGCUAACACUAACAAAUUCUGUGCUCUCCUCACAGUCGAUCUACCUCCUCACCGUGCUCAAUGCUCCCAAAGAGGUGAUUGAGGAGCUCGAUCGAAUCCGUAAGUGCUUCUUCUAGGAUAGGGAUCAGGCUCUGACUGGCGGAAAGUGUAAGGUGAAUUGGCCAACGGUUGGCCGACCACUGGAACUAGGCGGAUUAGGAAUCCUUGAUUUCCACCACUUCGCAAGAGCACUUAGACUGCGUUGGCUAUGGCAGGAGAAAGCGGACCCAGACAAAGCUUGGGUGGGGAUUCCCAUCACAUGCUCAGACAAGGAUAAGCUAUUGUUUGCUGCUUGCACAACUAUUCAAUUGGGGGACGGCGCACGCACAUCCUUCUAGCACUCUGCUUGGGCACAAGGAAGACGGCCUAAGAACAUUGCACCUAAGAUUUUUGCUGCUUCCAGGAAAAAGAAUAGGAUGCUAAAAGAAGCCAUAUGACACCACAAUUGGGUGAAGGGCCUGAAUGUGCUUGAGUGCUUAACAGUGGGCCACCUCGAGGAAUUUUUGGAGAUAUGGACUCUUGCUCAAGAAGUUCAUUUGCAGCAAGACACAGAUGAUCAGGUAGCAUGGAAGUUGUCUCCCUCGGGCCUUUAUUCGACAGCAUCGGCUUACCAUGCUCAAUUUAUGGGAUAGACAUCCUGCAAUCUCCGACAACUGAUCUAGAAACCGUGGGCGCCGCCGAGGUGUAAAUUGUUUGCAUGGCUAAUAAUUCGCAACAGAGUAUGGAUGACAGAUCGACUAGCUACGCAAAACUUGCCAAGAAAUCCAGUCUGCCCUUUAUGUAGGAGUCGGCCUAAGACAGCCCACCACAUCCUCGUUGACUGCCGGUAUUCCAGACAAAUUUGGUUCAUGGUGGCCUCCUUGAUCUCCUAUAAUCAAGUCAACCCGGACCAGUGGGCACACACGUCAACUGUCAAGGAGUGGUGGACACGCAUGGGCGCCAUGCCGGGAGUUCCUCGUAAAGGACUGCGGUCCCUCCUCUUGCUCGUCUGCUAGCAGCUGUGGCUCGAAAGAAACGCUAGAACGUUCCAAAGAACCGAGCGUCCUGCCCAUGCUUUGCUAUCACAAAUUAGGGACACCUGUGAGAGUGCCGGCGUGAAACACCUGGCAGCCUUACUUGAGGGGGCAUAGCCUUAUACGGUAUACAUAGUACAUGUGGGCGCUUUGCUGGCGCCGAGUUUUCCUUUUUCCCUGUUUUUUAAAAACCUGUAAAUCUCUUCUAUAUUAAUAGAAAUGGCACAAUCAGUACCGUUCGUUCAAAAAAACAAAAAUGACAUAUAGUUUAGGUCCAAAUGGAGACUAAUUUUGAUACACUAAAUGUGUUCAAACAGUUAAGGAAAAUAUUUCUACACUAUAGAGGUAUAAGAGAAUUGAUUGACAUCUAAGAAAUUGGAAAUGAGAUCAAAAGUGAUUCAGAGGCAGAGAUAGCGAGUUAAUAAUUACCUUGGUCACUAGGUUUUUCGUUUCUCUAGCAGCCCUUAUGGCUGCAUCUGUAAAAUUUCCCAUUUUACUAGAUAAUAUAUUUGUCGAGCACCUGUAACAAACAUAAUUUAACACAACGGAUCAGCAAUCUUAUAAUCAUAUUAUGCAUGAUACAAAUCAACGCAAGUCAUCUCUAGUAGAGGAAAUAUGUUGUUUUAUCUAUGCAUAAUUUAUGGAAAGGAGUUAACUCAUGUCUAGUCGAAGAAGAAUGUCCUUUUAUUUGUAUGUAAAUUAUUGAAAUGAGUUGGUAAAUUGCUUGAAUAAAUUAAGAUGGUCCCGUGUUAUUUUUUAUGCAAGUAGCAGCUAAGAUGGAUAUUGAUGACAAAAUUGCCCAGAAAAAGUAAUAAUACUGCGAUUAUAAAUUAUAUUACUACAAUGACAUAUACUUUGGAUUGGAAAGGAUACUAAUGUUGGCCCACUAAAUAUGUUUCAUUGUUUGAGGAAAAUGAUUCUAAACUACAAAAUAAGAGAAAUUCGGUGCUGACAGAUGAGACAAUGGGGACAAGAUCAAAAGCCAUGCUGAGGCAGCAAGUUAACCCAAUCACUUGUUUUUUCUUUUGUAUAACAACCCUUUUGACCGCAUCUUCAGUUUUUCCCGUUUUACUAGAUAAUAUUUGAUCAAACACCUGCCACAACAUAAUUUAACACAAGGGAUCAACAAUCUUAUAAUGGUAUUAUACGUGAUACAUGUUAAGUUAUUGAAAGGAGUUAAUGACUUACUUGAGGAAAAAAAAUUAAGAUGCCCUCUUGUAAUUUCUGACGUUCAUCUAUCUAAUGCAAGUUCCAAAUGCUCCCCCUAUUUCAACAUGUGAGAUGUUUAAGUUUUUUCUUUUUGUCCUAAGUCAAACAUCUCUAAGUUUGACUGAAUUUGUAGAAAAUACAUCAACAUCUACAACACCAAUAGUUUCAUUAAAUCUGCAUAUAAUAUGCCUUGGUAGUUCAUUUAUUUGGUAUGAUAAAUGUUAAUAUUUUUUUAUAUAAAUUUGAUGAAAAUUAGAAAGUUUGGCUUAUGGCAAAACUAAAACACGAACAGAGGGAAGCAACAUUAACAUCUUGCUUGGAAAGUUUAUCAGCAACAUUAGCAUCUAUUGCCGCGCGAAGGGGAAGCAGUCUGGCCAGCGCUUCCCCUGCUUUGCGCCUCAGUCUGGUGGACUUAUGUUCUCUGUCUGCUCGUUCAAGUUCGGCUAUAGUACUGUCAGCCACGUCCACUAUAGCCAUGUCCCCUGCAGUAUUGCUGGCCUAUUUCUCAAGGACGAUUCUUACCAGGGCCUUUAAAAGCUUUUUGAAAUCAAGUUUCUUGAAAGAAUCAUCAAAGGCUAAAUCUGUCAUGAUCUCCAGGGCUUGUUCACUUAGUUCUUGGGCACUUUCACUGUCAACAGGCUCCAAAAUAGCCAUCAGGUUACUGACGGCUUCCGCUUUACUUGCCAGCUCCUGGCGCAGCCUUGUGGCGCCGUCUCCGGGGCUGCUAAGUAGCCUGCUCACCACUGAGGAAGUCAUGGCUGCCGGCCGGGAGCCCCCAAGGCCCCGCCGAGAAGAUGAUGUGCUCGCGGUUCCAGUGUUCCAUGGGGUACCCAUAGAUGGCAACGACGACGGCGACGAAAGCUUCAUGGUCGAAGUGGAAGCAAUUCGGCGUCUCCUCGUGAUGCUCCAGGUUGACGACGUGCUCGCGGCCAAGGAGGUGCGCCAGCUGAAUGGCACUCGUCUCGUCUUCCUCCUGGGCGACGGCUCUCGCUCCAAACUCCGGCGAGCGGCUCAUGCCCUGGUCUCUGCUCGGGAGGCGAUUCGUGUGCCCCCGGUCCUUUCUCUUUGGCCGAGCUCUGCGCGAUGGGUGCUCUGCGCUUCCCAUCCAGGACGACCGGCGGCAGCGACAGGCCGGAGGCUUAACCGGUGAGGGGAGAGAGGACACAAAAAAGAGAUAGGCAGGGACACUACGUAAAACUCGCAUUCAUGACAGGGGUCUAUCUGUAAAUAAUCGGAUCGCGAUUAAUAUUAGCGAUCCAAAUCAGGAGGUAAAUUCAAAUAUUUGGAUCACGAUUAAUAGUCACGAUUCAAAUGGGUCUAUCUAGAAAUUUUCUCCAUCUCUAAUUUGUAUCAGCCCAUUGCAUUUUGCCGAAUUGGUUUCUUUCUUUCUUUUACUGUCAAUUGUCAAAUACCAUCUGUUGGUCAGGAUGAAGCAUCUAUUACCAAAUAAGAAUAGACCAAUGUGCGAGUGCUAGGGUGCAUGGGAAAUUGGAGACAGUAGAUUGGAGGCUAUACAUUGGGAAACUCUGUUGUAGCAGUUAGCUACUUGUUUGCUGUCAGGUACAGAAUCCUGAACAAAUGGCCUCUGCUUGACUUCAGUAGUGCAGUUAGUCUCUGCUUCACCAGGGGAUGUGGAACCUGAAACACAUUCAGAGAUUAAAACAGGUGCACAAUCUCAGGGCAGGCUGCCAAUGAUCGUGUUCGCACAUUAGAAAUAACGAGUCAUGGAAAGAUAGAUUUAUCAAUUAUCAAAUGCAAAGCUGUUCGACGGAUAUAAUUUAGAUAAUGAAAAAAGAACAGUUCCAGCCUUUGCUUCUUUAGAAACAUAGCACAUGUACUUGUUGCAACUAGUUUAGUACGCAGACUGAUAUGGGAGCAUCACACAAACCGUGAUAUUAACAGAAAAAAUGGGGUUACAAAUACAAAACUUAGGCCCUGUUUGGGAAGGGCGUGUUAAAAUUUAACAGGGUGUUAAACUUUAACACCCUCAAAUAAAGGUGUUAAACUUUAGUAUCUUGAGGUGUUUGGAUGAUCUGUUAAAAUUUAACACCUUAGGUUGUAAUUGACAACUUUACCCCUCAUUACUCCUCUCAAUGGCAGCCAAAUACCCCUUCUUCCUUCUUCUCCUUCCUCCUCCUUCCUUCUUCCUCCUUUCCUGCACCUGCCGCCUCCGGCCCCACCCCUGCUCGGUCCACGCCGUGCCCGGCGCCAACGUCGGCGUCGACGCUGCCGGCCGCCCCGUCGGCCCCUCCCCUGCGCAUGCCGCCUCCGGCCCCGCCCCGCCGCCGGCGUCCCCUACCGCGGCGCUAGCGGCCGCGCCCGCCCGAGCCCCCAACGCCACCACCGCGCCCGCCCGAGCCCCCACCGCCACCACCUGCGCCGCCCGCCGGUCCCCACACCACCGGAUCGGCCUCGCCCGCGCCCGCACCCGCCGGCCGCGCCAGCCGCCGCCCACGCGAGGCCGCCCGCGCUGGCCGCCGCCUGCCGCCCGCGCGAGCCCGCCGCGUGCUGCCCAGCGUGGCAUCCCGACGCAGGAGCGGCGCGGACCGGCGGUGGCGCGCGAUGGGCGGACCAGCGGCGGCGCGACGGGCGGACUGGCGGCGGUGCGCGACGUGCGGAUCGGGGAAGGAAGAUGGGGGCAGUGGAGGAGAGAGAAGAGGAGAGAGAGGGGGGCAACCAGGGAAUAAGUGGGGAGGGGGACCACUUUUAACACCUUUAGCACAUUUUAACACCCCCUCCAUGUGUUUAUGAAAAGAGGGGUGUUAAAUUUUAACACUUCAUCUUUAACACUUGUGUUUGGCAACCAAAAGUGUUAAAAUCUGUUAAAAAGGGGGUGUUAAACUUUAACACCCCCUUCCCAAACAGGCCCUUAGAUAGCACGCGACUACAUUGUCAACAAGAAUUGUAGAUCCCAGUUCUGGAAUAAGAAUAAAAAUACAGAUUUUUAUUUUGUCAAACAAAUAGCCUAGAAGACGAUCCAAGAUAAAUCUUUGAUAAAAAACAAGAUAAUAUACUUAACGAUGUCCCCUUUGUCAGACAGAGAUAUCAAUUACCCUGUUCUUGUGCUGUCUUUAGGAGUCCUUGUCCUUCUUUGACUAGAGAAGCGAGAGACCUCGCUGGCUUGAUCACCUCACGAUCAUUCCCAGCAAAGAGCAUGCAGUUAUCAACCUCCGACAUGGUUCCCAAAGUCUCGGUCAGUGCUUCCUUGAAAUUAUGUUCAUUGAAAUAUUGGAUGCAGCUGGGCUUGGCUUGAAUCAUAGCUAUCACCAUCUGGCAGGUAAGUUUCACUACUCUCAAACACUCAGACUCAACCGUGCAUUGCUUGUUUACUUUCAGUAUGUCUUUGAGCUUCUUCGCAAGUGCUGCAUCUUCAGGGGUGGAUUGAGCAAAAUCUUCUCUACUGAUCACAUUUUCGUUGCAUAUCACCACGGUGAGGGAUAACAUGGCUGCCAUAAACUUUCUUUCCUCGGAUUGCUUUUCAUCUCCCUGAGUGUGAGGCUGUGUACUAUCAGCUUCUCCUGGGGGCUGGUUUUCCGCAAAAUUUUCUGCUGCAUCUGCACUUGUUCCCAUUUUACUAGAUAAUAUUUGAUCGAGCACCUGUAACAAACAUAAUUUAAUGCAAAGGACCAGCAAUAUUGAUGCAACUCAUCUCUAGUGGAAAUUUUUGUACACUACAGAAUUAUGAGAAAUUAACUGACAUCUGAGAAUUGGGAAUAAGAUCCAACAUGAUGCAGAGGCAGAAGAAGCGAGAGUUGUCGUCAAUUUUUCUUUUGUUCUAAACAAAAAUAGGCAGAGGUAGCUAGUUACCUUGGUCAAUAGGUUGAUCGCCUCUUGCUUGGAAAUUAUAACAUCUCUUUCUCUUGCAGUGCUAACGGGAAGCAAUCUGGCCAGUGCUUCCCCUGCUUUUCCCCUCAUCAGUCUGGUGGCAUUUUCCCUAUCAGCUUGUUCCACUUGAACUACAGUAUUAUUGCUGGGCGCUUCCUCAAGGAAGAUGCAUAGCAGGGCCUUGAGAAGCUUGUUAAACUCCAGCUUUUUGAAAGAAUCAUUCAAGGCUAACUCCGUCAGGAUCUCCAGGGCUUGUCCAUGCAGUUCUUGGGCAGCUCCGCUGUCAGUCUCCAAAAUAGCCAUCAGAUUCAAAAACAUAUGGCUCUGCCCUCAUAUAACUGUGUCCUUUGUCACUACAACAAAAUUGAGAUACUCUUCCAUCUUUUGCUGGAAUGCCCGUUUGCUCAAGACUGUUGGAUCCAUUUAGACCUUUAUGCAGAUUUACAACUGGAUCCUUUUUCCAUUAUGAAUACCUUCAAAACUCAGCUUCAAGUUCCCUUCUUCAUGAAAAUUAUCAUAAUUAUGAGCUGGUGCAUAUAGAUGGCAAGAAAUGAUUCAAUCUUUCGUGACAUACCACCAACAAUUCAAGGGGCCAUCGCACGCUUUAAGACUAUUUAUUCUUUAGUUCUGCAUAGAGUUAAAGAGGUCUGGAAACAAUCAAUGGUGGAAUGGCUAGAGCUUAUGUUGUAAUCUUCAUGAUUUUCUUCUUAACCUUUUUUGUCUCUUAGUUACAAACUACAUUUUAUUCAUCCCCUUUCCUUUUAAUAUAUAACCAGCGGGGAUAAAACCCUCCUGUUUCAACAAAAAAAAAUAGCCAUCAGAUUGCUGACAGCUUCUGUUGUACUGGCAAGUUCCUGGCGCAGCCUUGUGGCGCCAUCCCCAGGGCAGGCAAGUAUCCUGCUUAACGCUGUGAGUGACUUGCUUAGCAUUCGAACAACCAUUGUGUCCUCCCGGACAUUGUUGAGAAAGUCAGGGCUGCUCAGUGGUGAUGUGAUCUUAGAGAGCAGCCUUGGGUGUUUGCUUAUCUCUGUACAGUUCUCUUCGCCCUGUGUGAGCCCCUCGAGAAUCAGCAGGCCUUGAGAAACCAGUUCUUUGGGUCCUCUAAAGGUAUAGGUAAAUCUCGACGGCGUGGGGGGCGACGAGGGGGCGCCGGCGACGACAUUGGCCGGGGACGAAGGCAACCAGCGAUGGGGACGGAGAGGAGGCAGCAUUGGGGAUGGAGGACAGCAACGGGGACGAAGGCGGCGGUGGGACGGAGGAGGCGGAGGCGGCGACGGGGACGGAGACCGGCGGUGAGGGAGGCAAACGGGCGGGAUCUCAGACGACGUGGUGAAAAUUUCGCUAAAUCUUGGGCGCGAGGGAGGUGAACAGGCGGGAUCUCAGACGACGUCAGUUACUUUUAUUUCCCCCCCCCCCACACACACACACACCUUUUAUCCCAGUUCGUAAAUGAAUCUGGGACUAAUGAUCAUUUUAUCCCGCGUCCAAUUUGCAACCGGGAUAAAAGCGUUGGCCUUUAUCCCGGUUGUAAUAAGGAACCGGGAUAAAAAGGGUACGUUCUAAGCGGGAACCGAAGAGUACCCUUUUAUCCCGAUUCCAGAUUGUAACUCAGAUAAAAGGAGGCUCCUCAACCGGGAUAAAAGGUCCCUCACCCAUUUUUCAUCUCCCGCUUAUUUUUUAGAAAUGGAUUUUAUUUAUGUUUUUGCUGGAUUUAAUGAAACAAAAAUUAAAAACUUUACAUAUUUCGAACAUGCAAAAAUAUAUUAAAUUAGCAAGUAUAUUUACAAUAAGUUUGAAUGAGUCAUAAAUUCUAUACUAUUCCUUUUUCUUCUAAAAUAAUUAUUUUAGUUCAUCACUAUCAUCAAAUUAAUUAAAUAAUUUCAACACGUGAAAAAUUCAAUUGAUGUAUGUGCUCAACAUUAUUCAUAUUGAUGGAAUAAAUCUUCAUCUCAACUAAUGUUGACAUACAAAUUUAUAUAAGUUUUCAACUGGUUUUGUUAAAGAAAAAAAAUCAGAACUUUGCAUAUUUUGACCAUGCAAAAAUAUAUUAAAUUAGCAAGUAUAUUUACAAUAAGUUUGAAUGACUCAUUAAUUCUAUACUAGUUAUUUUAGCUUCUAAAAUAAUUAUUUUACUGCAUCACGAUCAUCAAGAAAUUAUUCAAUUAAUUAAAUAAUUUCAACGCGCGAAAAAUUCAAUUGAUGUAUGUGGUUAACAUUUUUCAUAUUUAUUGAAUAAAUUUUCACCUCAACUAAUUUAAACACACAAGAAAUCAUAGAUACGUUAAAUUAAAAAUUGUGUCAAGUAGUACAUGAAAUCAUAGAACCUUACAAUAUAACUUUACAUAAAGGUGAAGCAAAUUUAGCGCAUUACAAUGUAACGUUAGAAAACUUUUUCUUCACGAAAGUUCCUUAGUCAUGAUCGCGGCGUAAAUACGGAGCCUCUUCUUUGGAUAGCAAGAUGCAUGUGUCAACUUCAACAGCGAAUGGAGACAGGCCAUCAAAUUGAUCAUAAUCAUCUGAUUGGUCUGUUUUAUCCUUGACUCCAACGAUUUUUCUUUUAAUUGGAAGAAAUAUGUGGCGCUUUGGCUCCCAUGGCUCUUCUGGAUUUCUCUUGGGUUUGCUAGACAUGUCCUUCACAUAGAAAACUUGAUGCACCUCAUUGGCAAGUACAAAUGGUUCAUCACUGUAUCCAGUCUUGCUCAGGUCUACUAUUGUCAUUUCAUACUGAUCUUUGGUUACGCCCUUAGCUUCACCCAUAGGCAACAAAAUAGAGGGAUGCAUACUGGUCCGUAUUCGAGUUCCCAUAUCUCCUCUAUGAAACCAUAAUACGAGUCCUUGCUACUGUUUCUAUCUAUGGCAUCUAUGCGGACACCACUAUUCUGGUUCGUGCUUUUCUGGUCUUGGGCUCUCAUGUAAAAUGUAUAACCAUUGAUCUCGUAGCCUUGGAAUUUCAUGAUUGUGCUAGAAGGUCCCCUAGCUAUCAAGCAAGUUGUGUGUGAAUCUCAGAGUUACCCAUAUGUUGUUGGUGCAACCAGGAGGGAAAAGUUUCCACGCGGCUUCUUAUAAGCCAGGCAUCGGAUCUUGUCAAGUUUUUGGAAACUAGCAUCUGCUUGUGAUGCUCGAUAUACAGAGCCACAACGGUUGACUGUUGCAGAACAUUGUAGUGUGCCUUGUUGAACAAAUCAGUAUCAUUUCUCAAACUUACUUUCCUUCCUAGGGUGCCCAUUUCCCGCAGCCUCCCCUUGUGGCGUGAAGUUGGAACCCCAAUUGAGUCAAUAAAAUUAACACAAAACUCAAUCACCUCCUCUAUUCCAUAUCCCUUGGCGAUGCUUCCUUCUGGAUGGGCAUGAUUAAGAACAUAGUUUUUUAGACUGACAUGAACCUCUCAAAAGGCCACAUAUUGUAUAAGUAUACUAGUCCGAGAAUACUACUCUCUUUUACUAGGUGAACCAGGAGGUGCGUCAUAAUAUUGAAGAAGGAUGGUGGAAAUACCAACUCAAAGCUGACAAGACGUUUGCACCACAUCAUUUUGUAGCUUUGUUAGCUUUGAUGGAUCAAUUGCCUUCUGCAAAAUCGCAUUGACAAACACGCAUAGCUUUACGAGCGGCAAUCGGACAUUCUCUGGUAGAACACCCCUCAGUGCAACCGGAAGCAACUGGGUCAUCAACAUGUGGCAGUCAUGGGCCUUGAGAUUUGUGGCUGUGGCGGAACCACCUCGGAUUAACUCAACUAAAGCACAGUUAAGUCGCUUUAAAUGCGAUACUCAUGCCUUAAUCGUGCUAACUCGAGAUGCCAUCGGAUUUCAUCCGAUUUAACCACUUUGACAGGACCGAGUUUAGCAAAACCCACACGAAGGUGAGUGGUUCCAGAGAAUACAACAGGCCCAACAGUAGAUUAUAAGUUCUUACACACUUGGUUAAAAUCAGAGUUUUACAAGUUCCGAAGAAAACGACAGGAGGUAAACACAAGCGGAAACUAGCGCCGGGGUCGGAUGUCCUUGAUGAGGCCGAUCAGGACAUCAGUGAUCCCUUUCCUUGCCGUCCGAGGAGGGAUCCCACUCGACCGUCCAACCUGGAGGGAGUUGGGGCGGCCAAGAGCCAACAGGAGCAGACUUAGGAGCUGCGACUUCACCUGAAAAGAAAGCCACAAACAAGGCUGAGCUACUAAGCUCAACAAGACUUAACUGACCGGGAGUAAAACUACUCCACCACUUCUAAACAUGCGAGGCUCUUUGGCUGAGGGGUUUGUUUGCCAAAGCACUAAGUAGAUCCUUAUUUUCAAAGUUUUAGCUCAGAUUCUAAGUUCAUUAACCGGUCUAAGUCAGCAACUUACUCUAAGCAACAUAGAUCCAACCAAAAGGGUAUAUAAGCAUCAUCAAGAUCAUGUCAUCAUCAGAUUCCUUUAUUACUCAGUGUAGCAUAGCGAUCAAGUAGUCUCAAACUGCGAGAGGUAGACAAAUCGAUUCGAGUUCUUUAACCAUACAUGGUGAACCUAACCUCAUGACAUCUGCGCACCACCGAGGGUCGCUUCCUGUAUUGGCCUUCCCCAUCAAUUCCCUAACCCGUGUCGGGCCCAUUUCCUUUGGUGCAAGGUUCCACAGACCCGGCCUCUGCCGUUCUGUGACCACACUUGUGUUGGGAUACGAGGUAGGCUACACUAGCGCAAAUCAAAAUUUCUACCGCGUAAAACCAGGAAGAACUGCCGUAUAAGGAUCACGGGAUUACCACUCGACGCACUACUGGUGCGGAAGAUGUAGAUAUGCGUCGAUGCAGUGAAGACGAUCACGUAGUCAUACGUAGUCGAUCAACGUAGUCGUACGUAGUCGAUCACGUCACGUCCAGCAGCUCCUCAGCAGCUCGUCCACGUGCAGCAAGAUCGCCUCUGGUGCCGCGGCUCGUCGUCGGCUCGUCGUGGCUCGUCGGCGGCUCGUCGAUGGCUCGUCCAAGUGCUUCAGGCGCAACACCUCCAAGGUAUCCACACGUGCAGGGAGGAAGCGUCACAAGCCGGACUGCUAGAUCCGCGAGUUGCAACAGGCGAGGGCGUGGGAGGCGCGGCAGGUGUGUUUCGCCAAAAAGGUGUAAACCCUAGGGCGCCCCCACCCCUCUAUUUAUAGAGGUUCCUGACGGGCCUCUAGAUCCGAGGCCCAUUAGUACUUCUAAACCUAAUCCAACUCAGAUCUGAUCCGAAUUGGGCUUCCAGCCCCUUAAGUGUGUGACCCUAUGGGUUCGGAUACGUAUAGACAUGGCCCGAGUACUCCUACUCGGCCCAAUAGUCGGUACCGGCCUCUAGCAAGACGUGCCAACUCCUAUACGUACAUGAAGAUCAUAUCAGACGAACCACCACAACAUAAUAUACAUGCUAUUCCCUUUGCCUCACGAUAUUUGGUCUAGCUUCAAGCCGACCGCUCUUUCUCGAUCCUGUGAUUCGGAAUCCCUUUGUAGGUUAACUCUUAACCGUACGUAGCAUGGCCAUCAUUUUCGGAUCCGAUCACUCGAGGGGCCCAGAGAUAUCACUCUCAAUCAGAGAGGGGCAAAUCCCAUCUUGAUUGACCAUGUCUCAUAGCAUGCUUCUUGACAAACCCGAAAGCUACCUUUAUAACUACCCUGUUACGGCGUAGCGUUUGAUAGCCCCUAAGUAGGUCGAUCCACAUCUAGAAUACAUGCGACAAUCUCAGGUCUAAGGACAAAGCGUAUAUGUUGUUUUAAAGAGAUAACUACUUCUCGUGUUGGGUCAGUCCUAGCACAUGUCUCCACAUGUGUCCACAUUAUUAGUUCAACAUCUCCAUGUCUAUGACUUGUGAAACAUAGUCAUCAACUAAUACAUGUGCUAGUCUAAUAUUCAUGUGUGUCCUCACAUGAACUCCGACUAGGGACAACUUUUAGAAUAAUCAUACAAGUAAAGAGUUUCACAUACAAUUCACAUAAUUGCAAAUCAAUUCAAGUAGCCUUUAAUGGAUAUUCAAUGAACACAAUAUACAAAUCAUGGAUACAAAUGGAAUAUCAUCAUCUCUAUAAUUGCCUCUAGGGCAUACCUCCAACAGUCUCCCACUUGCACUAGAGUCAAUCUAGAAGGUACCUAAUACCCAUAGCUCUUACAUGCACAUCAUGCUUAGCCUGCGGGAGUGGUUUUGUCAACGGAUCAGAAAUGUUCAGAUCCGUGUGUAUUUUGCAUAUCUGAUCUCACCCCGGUUAACGAAGUCUCGAAUGAGAUGAAAUCGCCGCAUUACGUGUUUGUUCUUCUGGUGGUUCCUUGGCUCCUUUGCUUGCGCAAUUGCCCCAUUAUUAUCACAGUAGAGAUUCAAUGGGCUGGACGCAUUCGGGAACACACCAAGCUCAAUGAGGAAAUUCCUUAUCCAAACACCUUCCUUCGCGGCUUCCGAAGCCGCGAUGUACUCGGCUUCUGUCGUAGAAUCGGCCACCGUCUCCUGCUUGGAACUCUUCCAACUAACAGCACCACCAUUUAGCGUGAACACAAAUCCUGAUUGUGACUUUGAAUCAUCUUUGUCGGUUUGGAAACUAGCAUCGGUGUAACCUGUUACAACGAGCUCCUCCUCACCUCCAUAGACGAGGAACAUAUCUUUAGUCCUUCUCAAGUACUUAAGAAUGUUUUUCACCGCUGUCCAGUGACUCUCACCUGGAUCAGAUUAGUGUCUGCUUGUCAUACUUAGCGCAUAUGAAACAUCUGGGCGAGUACUUAUCAUUGCAUACAUGAUAGAUCCAAUAGCCGAGGCAUAUGGCACUCUACUCAUGCGAUCCCGCUCAUCAGCAGUCGAAGGACACUGAGUCUUGCUGAGAUGUAUGCCAUGUGACAUAGGCAAGAACCCUUUCUUUGCCUCUUCCAUGUUGAACCGCUUCAACACUUUGUCAAUGUAAGUAUCUUGGCUUAAACCUAUAAGCCUUCUCGAUCUAUCUCUAUAGAUCUUAAUACCCAGAAUAUAUGCCGCUUCCUCUAAGUCCUUCAUCGAAAAACUAUUUUUCAAUGAAGUCUUUACGGACUCAAGCAUAGGAAUGUUAUUUCCAAUCAGUAAUAUGUCAUCCACAUAUAAGAUUAGAAAUACUACAGAGCUCCCACUAACCUUCUUGUAAACACAAGACUCUUCUUCGUUCUUGGUGAAGUCAAACCCUUUGACCACUUCAUCAAAACGAAUGUUCCAACUCCUAGAUGCUUGCUUCAAUCCAUAAAUGGAUCUCUGAAGCUUGCAUAUCUUUCCAGCAUUUUUCGGAUCGACAAAACCCUCAGGCUGUAUCAUAUACACGUCCUCAGUUAGGUUUCCAUUCAGGAAAGCUGUCUUGACAUCCACCUGCCAUAUCUCAUAAUCGAAAUAUGCAGCUAUAGCUAGAAUAAUCCGAAUAGACUUAAGCAUCACUACGGGCGAGAAGGUCUCGUCGUAGUCAACUCCUUGAACUUGUCGAAAACCUUUUGCGACAAGUCAUGCUUUAUAGAUGUGAACAUUUCCAUCCAUGUCCUUUUUCUUCUUAUAGAUCCACUUGCACUCAAUGGCUUUAACACCAUCAGGCGGGUCAACCAAGUUCCAAACUUGAUUGUCUCCCAUGGACUCUAUUUCGGAUUGCAUGGCACUCUGCCAUUUUUCGGAGUCUGGGUCCAUCAUUGCUUCUGCAUAUGUCGCAGGCUCAUCAUUGUCCAACAAUAAUAUUUCCCGCAUUUCGCGAAGCCUUGCCGACCUUCGUGGUUGUGGCGGUGCUUCUCUUGCCAUGGGUAUCUCAACUUGUUCUGCUACGUUAGCAUCACUCAUUGAUUCUUGCCCGAUCGGCUCAUCUUGAACUUCUUCAAGAUGCACUGUCUUUCCACUCUUUUCUCCUUUGAGAAACUCUUUCUCUAGGAAAACCCCGUUCCGAGCGACAAACACUUUGCCUUCUGAUCGGUUGUAGAAAUAAUAUCCCAAGGUUUCCUUUGGAUAUCCCACGAAAAUACACUUAUCCGACUUGGGUGUGAUCUUGUCCGACUGAAGUCGCUUGACAAACACUUCACAUCCCCAAAUCUUUAGAAAAGACAAACUAGGAACCUUUCCAGUCCAUAUCUCAUAUGGUGUCUUAACUACGGAUUUAGAUGGUACCCUAUUAAGUGUGAAAGCUGCUGUUUCUAGAGCGUAUCCCCAAAAUGACAACGGUAGGUCCGACUGGCUCAUCAUUGAUCGAACCAUGUCUAACAAAGUUCGAUUACGUCGCUCGGACACACCGUUUCUCUGAGGUGUUCAGGCGGCGUAAGUUGUGGAACAAUUCCGCAACUCUUUAGAUGAUUGCUAAACUCGUGGCUCAAAUACUCGCCUCCACGAUCAGAUCGUAAGGCCUUAAUUUUCUUGCCACGCUGAUUUUCAACUUCAUUCUGAAAUUCCUUGAACUUUUCAAAGGUUUCAGACUUGUGCCUCAUCAAGUAGACAUAGCCAUAUCUACUAAAAUCAUCAGUGAAAGUUAUGAAGUAUUGGAAUCCUCCUCUAGCCGUCGUGCUCAUCGGUCCGCAUACAUCACUAUGUACGAGUUCCAACAAGUCUACUGCUCUCUCAGGAAAUCCUGUGAAAGACGUCUUGGUCAUCUUGCCUAGCAAGCAAGCCUCACAUGUCUCGUAUGAUUCAAAAUCAAACGAAGUUAGAAGUCCAUCAGAAUGGAGCUUCUUCAUGCAUUUUUCACUUAUAUGACCCAAACAACAAUGCCACAAGUAGGUAGGACUCAAAUCAUUAGGCCGAGGCCUUUUAGCACUUACAUUACAGACAGGUGAACCAUCAAGAUUUAAGAUAAAUAAUCCAUUCACAAUGGGUGCAAAAGCCAUAAACAUAUUAUUCUUAGAGAUCACACAACCAUUGUUUUCACUCGCAAAUGAAUAACCAUCCUUCAUCAAGCAUGAAGGAGACAAAAUGUUUCGACUUAAACUAGGAACAAAAUAACAAUUAUUCAACUCCAUAAUAAAUCCUGACGGGAGGUGGAGUUGCAUCGUCCCGACGGUCAACGCAGCAACUCUUGCAUUAUUGCCCACGCGGAAAUCAACUUCUCCUCUUUCCACGCUUCUACUUCUUAUCAUUCCCUGCAUCAAAUUGCAAAUAUGAGCAACCGAUCCGGUAUCAAAUACCCAAGAAUUAAUAAUUGUAUCAGCGAGAAAUAUGUUGUCUAUAACAUUAAUAACAAGCGUACCUGAGGUAGAAGUACUCUUACUUCUGCCAUUCUUCAAUGAAGCUAGGUACUGCUUGCAGUUUCUUUUCCACUGACCAAGUUCAUGACAGUAAAAGCACUCUUUGUCUGGAGCAGGUCCAGGUCCAGCUUUAACCUUGGGCGCUGGGUUUGGCUUGGACGUUCCAGCCUUGCCCUUCUUCUUCCAAGAAUUGCCCUUCUUCUUAAAGCUAGGCUUGUUCUGUAUAGCCAUCACAUGGCUGGUACUAGCGCUUUUCUUGAUGUCCACCUCUGCUGUCUUGAGCAUACCACACAGUUCAUUCAAACCCUUUUCCGUCCCAUGCAUAUGGUAGUUCGAGAUGAAGUUCCCAUAGCUAGGCGGAAGAGAUGAAAGAAUGAAGUCAGUGGCCAACUCUUUGCCCAUUGGGAAGCCCAGCUUCUCCAAUCACUGAGUGUAACCAACCAUCUUGAUUACAUGUGGUCCUACUGCUGCGCCUUCUGCUAACUUGCACUCCAGAAAGGCUUUGGACACAUUGAACCUUUCGGUCCUAGCCUGUGUCUGGAACAUGUCCUUGAGUGUCACGAUCAUAUCGUGUGCCUCAUGAUUUGUUUCGAACUGCAUCUGCAGCUCGGGUUCCAUGCAAGCAAGCAUAAGGCAGCUUACCUCAAGAUUAGCAUCAAAUGCCUUCUUGUAAGCAGCCUUAACGGCAGUAGAUGCAUCAUCAGCAGGUACUGGUGGUAGUGGGGUGUCUAGAACAUCUUCCUUUUUAUCGGCCCUGAGAACAAUUCUCAGGUUACGGAUCCAAUCCGAGUAGUUUGUUCCAUUCAACUUGUCCUUCUCAAGGACCGAACGCAAAGCAAACGAUGUGGUGGUGUUGCUAGGUGCCAUUUAAUCUACAACAAAAGUAAUGCAAAAUACACUAAGACAAACGUAUCCAUGAUAGAGCAAAUUAUAUUAAACUAUUUUAACAGAAUCUACUCCCACUAAAAUCAAUAUCCCUCUAUUGAAACUUAGUGAUUCAGGAUCCACAACUAACAAGUCCACUAGUGAGCUUUAGCAUCACCGCUAGCAAACGAGGUAGAUCGGUAAGCAACUUUUGCUAAUCAUAUCACAUAUGACUCCUAUUGUUGGGUGACAUCUCUAUGUCUCGGUGCCCAACCUUUAUGCCCCAAGGUCCUUAACCGUUAAGAUAACCUUGUUAAGCAAACCAACCCUUAUGCAUGUAAGUGUCCGACACAAACCCGUCUAGUCAAGGAAAACUAGUGGCACCCUAAUUUCAUAGACCCACCACUAAUUGUACAAGACAUGGGACGGUGCAAGUUUUAGUUGGGAGGGCAUACUAACUUAAACUUUGUGAGGGAUCGUUCUACUUCUAACAUCACAGCAUGCAGAAAGUAAAACAUAAACAGAAUAGCAUUCACACAGUUGUGACAAAGUAUGGCCCGUUUUCAUAUGGUGAUCUCCAUCUCCAUAGAACCUGUUCACCAUGGUGAUCUCCAUCUCCAUGUUCCAUGUGUGCCAUCCUCCUGGUGAUGAGUCCUCCAAGAACUAGAGCAUGCUAUUACGCCUAAUAGCUAGUAAAGAAUCUAGUAAUGAAGAUUACAUAGUUGCUUGGAUCAUCACAGAUUGGUACGCAGACCAUUAAAUACAAUAAAGUGACAACACAUAUGACUCCUGCCGUGUUGCCGUACGCGCGACACGCAGGUCACAAAUGAGUUACACACAUGCAUCACAUACACAAGGGGCCAUACUGAUCACAAGAUACAUACAUAUAUCCUGCAAAACAGAGUUAGGCGUCCUAACGUUCCAAACUUCGGAGGCCCGAAACUCCAUCUUCCAAGCCGAAUUUGGGAAAUCUAAUUUUGCCGAAAACGGCAAAGCCGUUGAAUUUCAUGUGUAACUUUUUCCGUAGAUCAAUUUUCAUAUAAAAUUCGCCCCGAUCCGAGAUCAUACCGAAAAGUUACGGCUGAUUUACCGAAGUAUACGCAUACGACAAAAAUCCCGACCCCGGCAGUAGAUCACAUCUACCAUUGCACAUCUAAUGCGCCUGGCGUAUGACCCUGGAUUUCGAUUCGACCAAUCAUAUUGAUCUUCGCUCACUGCAACUGGAUUUACAUGUAUCACUUAACUCCGAUGGCGGAAACCGACCGGUAGGAGUAUGUCGUUACACUACCAUUGCAGCAAGGGCACGAAAACAGGACAUAGAUCAAACGGAAAACUCGCAUAUCUCCAUAUGCACACAUCCCGAAUCCAAAACUAAGCAGCUACGGCUCUUGAUACCACUGUUGGGAUACGAGGUAGGCUACACUAGCGCAAAUCAAAAUUUCUACCGCGUAAAACCAGGAAGAACUGCCGUAUAAGGAUCACGGGAUUACCACUCGACGCACUAUUGGUGCGGAAGAUGUAGAUAUGCGUUGAUGCAGUGAAGACGAUCACGUAGUCGUACGUAGUCGAUCAACGUAGUCGUACGUAGUCGAUCACGUCACGUCCAGCAGCUCCUCAGCAGCUCGUCCACGUGCAGCAAGAUCGCCUCCGGUGCCGCGGCUCGUCGUCGGCUCGUCGUGGCUCGUCGUCGGCUCGUCAUGGCUCGUCCAAGUGCUGCAGGCGCAACACCUCCAAGGUAUCCACACGUGCAGGGAGGAAGCGUCACAAGCCGGACUGCUAGAUCCGCGAGUUGCAACAGGCGAGGGCGUGGGAGGCGCAGCAGGUGUGUUUCGUCAAAAAGGUGUAAACCCUAGGGCGCCCCCACCCCUCUAUUUAUAGAGGUUCCUGACGGGCCUCUGGAUCCGAGGCCCAUUAGUACUUCUAAACCUAAUCCAACUCGGAUCUAAUCCGAAUUGGGCUUCCAGCCCCUUAAGUGUGUGACCCUAUGGGUUCGGAUACGUAUAGACAUGGCCCGAGUACUCCUACUCGGCCCAAUAGUCGGUACUGGCCUCUAGCAAGACGUGCCAACUCCUAUACGUACAUGAAGAUCAUAUCAGACGAACCAUCACAACAUAAUAUACGUGCUAUUCCCUUUGCCUCACGAUAUUUGGUCUAGCUUCAAGCCGACCGCUCUUUCUCGAUCCUGUGAUUCGGAAUCCCUUUGUAGGUUAACUCUUAACCGUACGUAGCAUGGCCAUGCAUUUUCGGAUCCGAUCACUCGAGGGGCCAGAGAUAUCACUCUCAAUCAGAGAGGGGCAAAUCCCAUCUUGAUUGACCAUGUCUCAUAGCAUGCUUCUUGACAAACCCGAAAGCUACCUUUAUAACUACCCUGUUACGGCGUAGCGUUUGAUAGCCCCUAAGUAGGUCGAUCCACAUCUAGAAUACAUGCAACAAUCUCAGUUCUAAGGACAAAGCGUAUAUGUUGUUUUAAAGAGAUAACUACUUCUCGUGUUGGGUCAGUCCUAGCACAUGUCUCCACAUGUGUCCACCUUAUUAGUUCAACAUCUUCAUGUCUAUGACUUGUGAAACAUAGUCAUCAACUAAUACAUGUGCUAGUCUAAUAUUCAUGUGUGUCCUCACAUGAACUCCGACUAGGGACAACUUUUAGAAUAAUCAUACAAGUAAAGAGUUUCACAUACAAUUCACAUAAUUGCAAAUCAAUUCAAGUAGACUUUAAUGGAUAUUCAAUGAACACAAUAUACAAAUCAUGGAUACAAAUGGAAUAUCAUCAUCUCUAUGAUUGCCUCUAGGGCAUACCUCCAACAACUUGCCACCACAUGCGGCUGUAGGGGAACUUCGUUCCAAGGACAAUGGGGUUAGUACUUUCAAACACUUGAUCAUGAACACCACCACUGUCAGGCCUUAACAGAUUCCAUAGACAGACGGGGCGAUUAGCCGACCACCAAAAGUUAACCAGAAUCCUGCCCCAUCCAUUGUCCUUAUAGUUGUAACAGAAGGAGAAACAACCAACUCCUAUAACUCGCGAGUGACAGGAAAUCACUCGACUUUUAUCCUAUUUAAGCAUAGCAACUACUCGGUCCAACAAACUAGUGUUCAGAUCAAGGAACUACACCAUGCAUCUACGGUUGCAAACAACUCCUAACGUAAAUGCACAAACAGGAUGAAGAAGGCAUGUGCAAGUUUAGGAAAAUUGGGGUUCAUGCUCCAGGGCUUGCCUUCAAGCGAGGAGGAAGGGAAUUGGUCUUCUACUGGGGCGGCUUCGGCUUCUGGGAGCGGUAGCUCGGCUACAGCUCUAUCUUCGGGCGCCGGGUACAGCUCGUAGAUGCUGUCAGCGAGAUGCAACUCUACACGAAUGCAAAGCAGGAGUUAGUGUUUUAGACGGAUUAAUUCAACAACACUUGCAGUUAAAGCUCGAACACUGGUAGCAAAGCUACAGAAUAGGUCGGGAAGUUUACUUAAGUUGGUGGAAAGCAAGAUCAAAGGGUCGGGUGGGAAGAAACUUAUGAUCGGACCCUUAGACUAGAGGAUUAGCUGUGCUGGGGUCCUCAGACGUAAUGUAGAGAAGUUCUCGAUUUUUACACAUAUACCCUCGGGUCAAGGAAAAAGGAUACAGCUGAGUCCUCGGGUGAGGCAGAAAAGGGUCGACGAAACAGACAGGGUCGGGCGAGAUGGAGAAAGGGGUCGGGCAAACAGACAGGGUCGGGCGGGGUGGAAAAGGGGUCGGACGGACAGAUAGGGUCGGGCGAGGCGGAAAAGGGGUCGGACGGACAGACAGGGUCGGGCGAGGCGGAAAAGGGGUCGGACGGACAGACAGGGUCGGGCGAGGCGGAAAAGGGGUCGGCAGCUUAUCUUCGAUUUAUAGGUGAAGCUUUGGGGUCGGGAAGGAGCGGACUUGGGCGGAAGGACUGAAGCACUAAAACUUGGGCAGCGGCGAUGUCCGGCGGUGCUCCGGCGGUGGCGGAGCUUCUUGUGGGCAACAAGGAAGCUCUAGCACAGCGCAGAGGAGUAAGCGGCUGGGUGGAUUGGGAAAGGAGGGUGUUGAGCGGAGAGGAGAGUUCCUCAGGAACUUAGGUGGCAGCGCUCGAGCACGAAACAGAGGAACAAGGCGGUAAGGCAGCGAUGGCGAAGGGAACUCCGGUAGGACUCUAGCGUUCCCUUUUAUAGCUGCGCGGGAAGAGAGAGAGAGCUGGAGCAGCACGAAGACCGGGAAGAAAAGAGAUGGAGUGCGCUGCCAUGGAGGUGAUUGAGCAGCGAUGGGUGGCGGAACAGGGCUUCGGGGAUGACACCUUCGGCCAUUGAGCACUGGAGAUAGGGCGGCGCAGGCACGGUUUUGCCGGUGAUUGCGGUUUGGCGGAGGCGGGCGUCGUUGUGCGGCGGAUCUGAUGGGUGUGACAAGGGAAACGGCGCUAUAAGCGAGGUUGUACAGGUGAUAAGACAGGCGGGCUGCGGCUGCGCGGGCGAGCGCGAAGCAGCGGUUUGCCGGGGUGCAGCUCUGGCAAGGCGGAAAGGAGCUGUCGCGGCUGGGGUUAGGGUUGGCGAAGGAGGAAUCGUCGUUUAGUGCAUAUGGGGCGGCGCGACUUUGGAGGGGCGGCGGAAAAGCCGGGAGGCAUCGGGCCUUGCAGCCGGGGGUCCGGCGAGGUGAUGAUGGGCACGAGCUGCAAGGCGCUGCAGAAAGGGUUGCAGAGGGGCUUCCGCUGCGAUUGGGGAAGAAGGCACGGGAAUCCAUCCGGUCGCGGCCGGUGACGGGGCGGAGCGGCGGGGGUCGGAGGAGUUGAGCCACGCGGCGGAGAAACUCUGGAGCAGGCAUGCUACUCAAGUGCGUCUGCCUCGGGAGAUCUGGGAAAAGAUAGCGGGUCCACCGGUCAGUCUCGAUUUGUCCUCUGCUCAAGAUUAAGAAGGGCACUGCCUUGGGGAACUCAGAAGGGACCGACGGAAAGGGGUCGGGUUCUCAGGAGUCGGGACCGGAACUGGAGGUUGAGCACUUAGGCUCAGGGGGAGCUGAGAUAGGGGGAUCAGGGACUCAGAUUAAGAUUAACUCGAAAGAUUUAGGGUCGAUCGUCAGAGCGAUCUUCUUUUCUUUCAUAUUUAUUAUUCCCUUUAUAUUCAAGGAUUACCCAAAUGGGAUCUUCAUACUAUUCAAGCAUUCAAACAUGUUAUCCUUCUCUUCCUUGCUGAGAGUGUAACUAGCAGGACGUAAGUAGUGUUGUCCUUUAUCUCUCUUUUCCGAAUGUAGGUCAUCCUGCUGCCCCAUGGCUUUCAGGUCCUGUUGUGCUUCCAAUGUAUCUUUUGAGGGCCCAUAAACACCCAUGAAGCCUAGCACAUUCACGCAAAGGUUCUUCAUCAGGUGCAUCACGUCUAUUGCGUUACGAACCUCUAAGAUUUCCCAAUAAGGUAGCUCCCAAAAUAUUGACUUCUUCUUCCAUAUGGCUGCACAUCUGUCAUCGUCAUUCGGAACAAGUUGGCUACCAAGACCUUUUCCAAAGGCUACCCUUACAUCCUUCAUCAUCUCAAAAACACACUUUCCAUUACGGUGUGUAGGUUUUUUACGAGUUUCUGGGGGCCCUUUGAAAUGCAUCCUGCUGUCUCUCAGCUGGUGGUGAGCGGGGAGAUAUCGACGAUGACCCACAUAGAUGACCUUCUUACAGUGCUUCAAAUAUAUGCUAUCUGUGUUUUCUAAACAGUGAGUGCAGGGCUGAUAUCCCUUGUUUUUCUGUCCUAAAAGGUUACUCAGUGCAGACCAAUCAUUGAUGGUUAUGAAUAACAAUGCUCGUAGGUUAAACAUCUCUUGUUUAUCCUCAUCCCACAAACGCACACCUUCUUCCUUCCAGAGCUAUAAAAGUUCAUCAACCAACGAUUUUAGGUACACGUCAAUGUCGUUGCCGGGUUGUUUUGGGCCUUGGAUAAGCGCCGGCAUCAUAAUGAACUUCCGCUUCAUGCACAACCAAGGAGGAAGGUUGAACAUACAUAAGGUUAGAGGCCAAGUACAAUGACCACUACUCAACUCACCGAAUGGAUUGAAUCCAUCAGUACUUAAAUCAAACCUUAUGUUCCUUGCAUCACUUUCAAAGUCCAGGAAUGCUCUAUCAAUUGAUCUCCAUUGAUCCCCAUCAGCGGGGUGUCUUAGCAUCUUAUCUUGCUUACGUUAUUAUUUGUGCCAUCGCAUCAACUUAGAAUUUACCUUGUUCCUGAACAAGCGCUUCAAGCGUGGUUAUAUAAGGAAAUACCACAUCACUUUCACAAGAACUCUCUUCUUGGGAGGCUACCCCUCGACAUCACCAAGAUCAUCUCACCUGAUCUUAUACCGCAGUGCUUCGCACAUGGGACAAGCAUCCAGUUUCUCGUAUUUAGCACCGCGAUAGAGGAUACAAUCAUUAGGACAUGCGUGUAUCUUCUGAACCUCCAAUCCUAGAGGGCAAACAAUUUGUUUAGCUUCAUAUGUUGUGGAUGGCAAUUCAUUAUUCUCGGGAAGAAUCUUCUUGACAAUUUUCAACAUCCCCUGAAAUGCCUUAUUGGACACACCAUAUUUGGUCUCCAUUGCAUAAAUUCUAGUAUGGUACCUAGUUUUUUAGGCCCUACUAGCAAUCUGGGUACAAUAAUUUUUGGUGAUCAUCUAUCAUGCACUACAACUUUGCUGCUUUCUUGUCAGUUUCGCAAUCUCUUUGUGCAUCCCUUAGCACCUGACCGAGGUCAUCAGUAGGGCCAUCUUCUACAAACUCAUCUUCAUCAACCUCGUCCAUUGUAGUAUCUGCAAAAGCUUGGCCUGCAUCUCAGAUCAGAAUAUUGUCAUCAUCAUCCUCCUCUUCGCCGUCUUCCAUUACAACCCCUCUUUCACCGUGCUUGGUCCAAACUAAAUAGUUAGGCAUGAAAUCGUAUCUAAAGACGUGACUAUGAAUAGUCCCCCAGAAAACCUUUGAAUAGUCCUUCUUGUUACUGCAUUGGGUGCAUGGACAACAUAUGAACCCGUUCCAUGGCUUGUUCGCUUUGGCCACUUUGAGAAAAUAAUGCAAGCCAUCAAUAAACUCCUUGCUCCGUCUAUCCCCAUUAUACAUCCAUUGCUGGCCCAUUUGCAUCAAAUUACACAUGAAAAUGAAUUACGCAUGAAAAUAGAUUACAAUCAAACUAUCCAUCACAUUGCUAAAAGUUUAGAUAGAAAUACACAAAUUAAAAUUUCAGACCCAAACAAUAUGGUACACUACAACAAACUCAAAUGUUGCUGAAAGUUUACAUAGAAAUACACAAAUUUAAAUUUGAGACCAACAACAAUAUGAUACACUAUGACAAACCAUUCACUAAGUACUAUCUAGAAGGACUUCAAGCAUUCUUGGGCGGCGAAGAUGAAGGUUUCGCUGACCCAGCCUCAUCCUGUGGUUUAUUUGUACAUCCUACAACGGUAGUACUAAGUGGACCUAAAAUACCCGGGACUGGCAGUGGAGCAUAAUGACCACCAAAAGGAGGUUCCUGACCCGCCGCAACAACAUCUUCAUAACAUCUUCGCAAAUAAUGAAGCAUUGUUUUCUCCCACACGCUCAUUUCUUCAGCUUAUCGUGAGGGCCAAUUAUGGCUUUCCCCUUGCCACGAGAGGAACGACGAUCUCCCCCACCAUCCCACUACCUCCAGCAGCAAAAGCCAUCCCUAUGUACCACAAUUUAUUUAGCUCAUAUUUGCAAAUAACUAUCCCACAUAAUUUACUUAUUCUAAAAAUAACUAAUUACGUAGCUCUAUUUGAAAAGUACUAAACUACGAAAGUACACCUACAAUUUAUUUACCUUAAUUUUAUGGCUAAUUUCUAAAUAUUAAAAACACAUUUACUCUAAUUUUUUCCUAAUACAUAAAAUUAAAAUCCUCUCCAUUCUACCUCACAUUUACUCUCCAUUAUCCCUCACAUUCAAACUAUCCAUCACAUUGUAACUAAAAAAUAUGUAUAAAUACAAAUCCUCUCCAUUCUCCCUCUUUCUAACAAGCAAACUCAUUUUUCUCCCUCUCUAAAGUAUAAAACAAAGCAUAACAACAAUAAAUGAAUGGAGAAAUGAAGUAGCUAACCUUCACAACACUUUGGAUGAGUGAAAUCCCCACAGAAAUGAGGGAAAAAAAUUCGGCAGCACCUCCCCUAGGCUUGCUUCAGCGCAUGGAAAGGAUGAGCUUCUCUGUCUUUGUGGAAUGGAGUGGCCUGGGCUGGACGAGUGGAGGAGGAAGAAAGGCCUCUAUCUUGCAGCUUUAAGGGGAAAAGAUUUUAUCUUGGUUGGUAAAUCCAACUGGAACAAAAGUGUGACACUUUUAUCCCGGUUGGAGUUUACUCCUUGUUGGUGGUUCCAACCGGGACGAAGACGCCACCCUUUUUAUCCCGGUUGGAAUUACCAACGAGGAGUGACAUUUUCUAGUUGAGUAACUCCAACGGGGAUAAAAGGAUGGCGCUUAUAUCCCGGUUGGAACCACCAACAGUGACAAAAAUGUGGCGCCAUCGGUGCUCGGAAUCUAGCCGUUACAACCGGGAUAAAGGGGGGGGUCUUUAGUCCCGAUUGUAAAUACCAACCGGGAGUAAAGGUCUGCCCCAUUCCAGCGGUGCACCCCCUUUUCUUCCAGGCCUACUUUAAAUCGGGACUAAAGGGCGCGGAUCGAAAGUCAGUUCUCUACUUUAGUGCACGUUUCUAAAAAUAGAUGAACCUAAUUAAUAUAGUAAGGCUAAGGCACAAAGGCUGGCUCAUCCAUCUGAUGCACGAAUGACCACAUAUCUGUUUCUAUCAAAGGCAUCAGUUGAUAGUGACCGGACCACCGAAUAGAGACAUGGGCUGGAUUUUGUGCAUGAAGAUGAAGGCCCUACCAGCUUAAUCUUGCGGCUUGUGUAGAUCGGCAAAGCAGGGCGGACGUGAAGGUCGUCACCCUCUGAAGUUGCAGGUUGCUUUAACCAGCAUCCAACGUAGGCAACUCUUUGUGCUUUAAUCUGUUGCAUGCUCAACACUACCGGCAUGAUCCUAGUGCACCAGCUGCUCUGAAGAAAAUCGUUGUUGUGGUUCAGUAUCACCAAACAGAUGCUACUGUGAAGUGUGCUACUGCCAUUCUAUCCAUACAGUGUCGACUCUUCCUUUUCCUGAAAAACACAGCAGCUCUCUGUCAGUUUACUGAUGGAGAAAGAGUUGAAUAUAUUAUAUUGAGAGAUGGCACACCUUGAUUACAUAUGCGACGCACCUUUUAGUUGUUUUCAGGCUGAUGCGUAUUUCCCUUUUGCCUUGUAUUCCCAACCAGCCGUGCAGAGUAGUUGCAACUGGCCUAUCCAACCGGAAUGCAACUGGCCUAUCACACGAGUCGCAAUUGGUAUACCAUUAGAGAAUUGGUCUAGCACCGGUGUUGCAAUUUGUGUACGACGGAAGUUGCAAUCGGUUGACCGUCUAAGUUGCAAGUGGUAUACAAACGUAGCUACAACUAGCCAUCCAGGGCAAUCGCAACUAGCCUACCCAACCGGAAUGGAACUGGCCUAUGACACGAGUCGCAACUGGUCUACCACCAGAGUUGCAAUUUGUGACGACGGAAGUUGCAAUCGGUUCAAGGGAUGAGUUGCAACUCAUAUACAAACAGUGCUGCAACUAGCCGUCUAGGGCAGUCGCAACUGGCCUAUCACACGAGUCGCAAGUAGUCUACUAGAAUAUUGCAAUUUGUUUACGACGGAAGUUGCAAUUGGUUCAAGGGAUGAGUUGCAACUGGUACACAAACAGUGCUGCAACCAGCUGUCCAGUGCAGUCGCAACUGGCCUAACCAACCAGAAUGCAACUGUCCUAUCACACGAGUCGCAACUCGUCUACCACCAGAGUUGCAAUUUGUGUAUGACGGAAGUUGCAAUUGGCUGAGGGUCUGAGUUGCAACUAGUAUACAAACGGAGCUACAACCAGCCAUCCAAGGCCGUCGCAAUUGGCCUACCCAACCGGAAUGGAACUGUCCUAUCACACGAGUCGCAAUUGGUCUACCACCAGAGUUGCAAUUUGUGACGACGGAAGUUGCAAUCGGUUCAAGGGAUGAGUUGCAACUGGUAUACAAAUGGUGUUGCAACCAGCCAUACAGGGUAGUCGCAACUGGUCUACCACAAGGUUGUAAUAAGGGCACUUAUCUGAUUGCAUCUAGUGCCAGUUGCAACCGGGCCCUUAACUGAUUGCCUCUGUUUCUGAUUUAAAAAAAAAAAACUCCUCUGUUCCAGCAGUGCAGGGGACAACCAUGAAACAACAGAAUCCUUCCAUUCCACCAAGCAAGAACCUAACCUGCACGGAGCCAAAACUACCACCCCCACCAUCAUCUAUCUGCGACUACUACGAGGGAUAACAGUAACAGCACACUGGCGGCGACGACAUUCUCAGAUGGAGGUGGAAUCUUGCACGAAGUAUAUGUAUCUGCUGAUUCAAAUAUCAUUCAGUAAAAUUCAGCAUGAAAACUAAAUAAGUGUAUCAUCUUUACCACCAAUCUCAUUUCAAAGUUGAUGGCAAUGACAUGUUUUAUCUACAUGGUGUGUUUCUGCAUUCCAGCGAUAACGGGGAGAAAUCAAAACAAAAAUGAAUACUAUUUUCUUUACAUUGACAUUUGUAAAGUAGUAUGGCUCUAGGUUUAUGUUGAUCCCCAUUCCCAGUUCUUGGUCAAAAUGAACCAUUAAGCUGGUCAAUCUAGGAACCAGCCAGUGAUGCCGAGUUCACAGCGGUACCAAAGAAGAGCUCCCAGAACCAAAGAUCCACCGCGAGCACUGAAGAAAAGAUGAGCAGAGCAAGUGUCCCAUAUCUAUUCAAAGGCCAGCCUGAAGCCUCUGCCAGUGUCUUCAAGAAUGGGAGGGAUUUGCUUUCUAGCUCUCGUCUCCUUAUUGACCAUGCUGUAACCCACUGCACAUCAGCUGGGACCAUAUGGAGCUCUUCUCCAAGGCGUCUACCCAGGUCAGGCAUAUGUCCACCACCAUAAAGAACUGCUAUUCUCUUGUACCCGCGGUUUAUUGCUUCCUUUAUCUUCUCAGUGGCAACUCUGUUCGAUAAACUGACUUUUCCUCAACAGGAGAUGUCACAGCUGUGAAUCUUUAAUAAAAACAAAAAAUAAUUAGUUCAUACUUCACUUACACUUAUUUUGCCUGUCUGGAUUCAGAGUACUCACUCAGAUGUCAGUUGCUUUGCCAAGAAAAUCUUCAGUGCAGCUCCAAAAUCUAGCUUAGACAAUGCCUCCAGCUCAGGAAAUCCAUCUUGGUUCUCUACUGGCAUCUUGAUUUUCUCAGAAAAUUUCGCUUGGCAUCAAAUAGGAACACGAUGGGGAAACGAAGGAACUCGAGAAAAAUCGAGUGGAUGGGUACCAAAUUGCUCGCGCUUCUAGCAGACGACAGGCUCGUGCAAAAUCAAGCAACGUGACGCCACGGGGGAUUCAAUCCCCGCACCCCAGCAGCAAACAUUCCUCAAAGGAAGCACGAACUUGAAAAUCCGCAUCAGCAACCACCAAUCUGGGUCCCAAAAUCGUGCCGAGCCGAGCAACAAACGAAUCCAGCAUCGCGAUGAACUAAGCAGAAGUGGGGAUGGGGAUCCGGCGGCGGCCAUCGACGAGCUCAGAGCUCCAGGGCCGAGACGAGCCUCCCGCUGGCUGCGCUCGCUCGCCCCCUGCUCGUGCGCUCGCCGCUCGCACCGAGGGGAUCCGCAGCCGCACGUGCAGACGCAUGGUCGCAGACGAGCGGGGAGGGCCCGAGGGGGCCUGACUCUAGAAAACCUGAAAAAACUCCACUGGGAAUCCAUCAAGCCCGGAGCUUUUGUUAUGCUUCACUUGAAAAAUAGCUCCUCUAACUUCCUUUUCAGUAAACUUUUUAAUCAAGAUCUCAUUUUCUUCUCUUGACACUUGUGGGAUAUCCUCUGUCAAGGAUUCGUUCGUAGAACAAAUGUUUCUUAUCCGUGAUCCAAAUAAGAUUUUAUAAUACUUAGUUAUGUAUUUUUUAAGAUUUACAUCCCCUUCUAUAAUUCCCUCUUCUUGUUCCACCUGAAAACUCUAGUUUUCUGAUGCUUGCCAUUAGCUAUCAUAUGAAAAUAUUUUGCAUUGUUGUCCCCAUUUAGCAUCUUAUUGCUUUUCGCUCUUUGAUACCAUUUUAUUUCUUCUGAUCUCAAAAGCUAUAGUCUAUCCUGAAUAUAUUGCUUUAAAUCACUUUCUUACUGACUUAGUAGCUACGAUUCUACCUUUUUGUCUAGCUCAUUUGCCUUUUUAAGGAGCUCUUGUUUUUUUUAUAUUCCCCAUUCACAUUUUUUGCCCAUCUUCUCAGAAAUUGCCUUACCCUUCUGAUCUUGUUUUGCUAUUUUUGAAGAGGAGUGGAACCUUUUCUUUCUUUGCUCCAUACAUCAGAUACUAGUUCAAAAAAAUCCUCCCUUAAAAGCCAUCUUAGUUCAAAUUUAAACAUGGGUUGCUUUCUGCUCCCACCUUCCUGUCCAAUGUUAAACAGCAAAGGUGUAUGAUCUGAAAUUUCCCUACUCAUGGUAUCAUCCGUAGCUAAAGAAAAUUGUUGUUCCCAUUCCGUGCUGACCAACACUCUAUCCAAUUUUUCAUAAGUUGGGGUUUUUAAGGAAUUAGCCCAUGUAUACUUCCUCCUAACAUUUCUACCUCCUUUAAAUUUAAGCUAUCUAUGACAACAUUAAAAAGAAAGGGCCAUUUAUCCUCAUACCUUUCAUUGUUUUUUCACAUAGGUUUCUUAUGAUACUAAAAUCUCCCCCAAGUACAAUGGGUAAGUUCUCUUUACUACAAGCAUGUACAAGCUCAGUAAGGAAAGCUUCCUUAAAUUCUGGCUGUGUUGCCCCCUUAGACAGUCACCAAUACAAACUAGAAAUUGUCCUUUCUUGUCCUUAAUCUAAACUUCACAUAAAAAUCUCCUUCAUCAAUACUACCUAUGUCUAACUCAUCUAGAUCUACUGCUAAGAGAAUACCACCUGAUCUUCCAUGUGGUUUUGUCCAAUGUCAAAUAAAAUUUUUACCCCCACAUAAAUUACUUAGUGUGGUUUGGGUAAAAUCUCUUUUUCCUGUUUCUAGAAGAGCAAUGAAAGAUAAGUUAUGCUCUUUGGUAGUAUCCAAGAGAAAUAUUAUUUUAGCCAAGUCACUAAGACCUCUGCUAUUCUAGAAGAUUCCCCUCAUUUGGAAACAAUAUUGACAUUAAAUUUGGAAAUUUUUACUUUACAAGUCUUUCUCUUUUGCGACUUAGCACAAGACUUGUGUUUUCCAACCUUAGAAUAGUAUUCUAUGUAACUAUUAUCCUCAUCAAAAACUUCUUCCAAAAGUUCCCCACAAAGGUUCUGAAUUGCUCUGCUUUCUAUUUCUUCUCUCUCCUUAUCCUCCCUGUCACUGUCCAUAGUCAUCUCACUUUGGUUAUCUAACCCUUCGUAUUGAUCUAUAACACUACUUUCUACAGUAAGGAUUUCUCUUUCCACCCUUUCCCUCUCCUUUUCGCCCUCACCCAGCCUAACACCUAGUUGGCUUACAUUACAAACAACAUUAUUCAGAGGAAAAGGAAAACAAUGUUUAGUAUCAGUGUUACCUUUAUUAUGCUCCAGGUUCUUUCUAGCUUUCAUCUUUCUGUCUUACUUAGAAUGUGCUCAUCCCCUGAGUUAGCCAAUCUUGGACUAGCCCUUGUUGGCGUGAUUAGUACCUCAGGAAUUGUAGCCACCUUCUUCAAAUCAUCUCUUCCCUCUUCCUACUCCCAACUGCUCUCUACCUCCUGUUCUUCAUUUUGAUCAUUCAUCACCUGAUCUGCCAAAUCCUCCGGAGUUUUAUCCACCGCUCUAUUCAUUAUUUCCUUAGCCUUUUCCUUAAGAAACAAUUUAAAAUCCAUUUCAUUCAUCCUUUGGACUCUCUCUUUGAGUGAUUCUUUAUCAGCCCAGCCUUGCUCAACCUGCUUAUUUUCUGUACUGUUGUCUUCCUUCUCUUUGCACAUACUGCUAUUUUUCCUUCUUUUUAUCUCUAUUCAUAUCUGGUUCAUCCUCCAUGAGAUCAUCAUCACUGUCUUCUCCCUAUCCUUGUCCUUCUGCAUCUCCCUUCCAAUCAAAUACAACUUCCUCUCCAUUCUCAUCAGUCCCCCUUCUUUCCACCUCAAGAUCUAGUUCAAAGUAAUGAUCCUCUAUCACCACAUCUAGAUGUAGGGGGAUAAGUAAGGGGUUAAGGGCUGCCACACAUACCCUUCCAAAUUCAUUUUCUCUAGUCAUCUCCAUAUCAACAGUUUGGGUAGAUCCCAGCAUUGAUCCCACUGCCCAUAGAUUCACAUACUCCCUUAAGGACUUUCUCAAACCAAACACUCUUACCCACACUUUAGGGAGAAGAAACCCAUCUUUUUUCUCUUGCCAAGCUUCAAAUUGCAGUCUCACACAUGUCUGCACUCCAUCUUCUCUAACAUCUACCCCUCCAAAAGCUAUUGCUCUCUAAAGUUCAGAUUUUGAGGGGAAUUUGGUAAUGAAAGUGUUAUCUUCAUUAUCCUCUAAUUCCCAUUUCCAUUUUCCAGAAUACAGCCUUUGCAAUUGUGAGACUACGUGUUUCUUGGAUAGCUGCCCUCCUCCAAUUCUAAUCUGGGCCUUCUUACCAAAUAAGAAUAGACCAAUGUGCGAGUGCUAAGGUGCAUGGGAAAUUGGAGACAGUAGAUUGGAGGCGAUACAUUGGGAAAUCAGUAUUGUAGCAGUUAGCUACUUGUUUGCUGUCAGGUACAGAAUCCUGAACAGAUGGCAUCUGCUUGACUUCAGUAGUUCAGUUAGUCUCUGUUUCACCAGGGGAUGUACUUGUUGCAACUAGUUCAGUACGAAGACUGAUAUGGGAGCAUCACACAAACCGUGAUAUUAACAGAAAAAAUGGGGUUACAGAUACAAAACUUAGAUAGCACGCAACUACAUUGUCAAGAAGAAUUGUAGAUCCCAGUUCUGGAAUAAGAAUAAGAAUACAGAUUUUUUAUUUUGUCAAACAAAUAGCCCAGAAGACGAUCCAAGAUAAAUCUUUGAUAAAAACAAGAUAAUAUACUUUGAUAAAAACAAGAUAAUAUACUUAACGAUGUCCCCUUUGUCAGACAGAGAUAUCAAUUACCCUGUUCUUGUGCUGUCUUUAGGAGUUCUUGUGCUUCUUUCACUAGAGAAGCGAGAGACCUCGCUGGCUUGAUCACCUCACGAUCAUUCCCAG